This 87213-nucleotide long non-coding RNA is filed under the name Triticum aestivum (bread wheat). Its description in RNAcentral is "long non-coding RNA (TAES_LNC008708)". Lineage: Eukaryota; Viridiplantae; Streptophyta; Magnoliopsida; Poales; Poaceae. The record is from RNAcentral.
CAACAAUGUUAAAAAGUAGGUUGUUUUGCUUAAUUAGUUGUGACUAAAACAAAAUUAUAGAGUAUAUCUUUAUGUGGUUAUUAGCCAGUUAAUUCCGUUCAUUUAAGAUAAUACAUUGUGUCACUCCGUGACUAUUCGAGCUUAUAUGCAUUUGAUAUGCGCGACAAGAUGAACCAUGAUAUGGAUCAUGUUUAUAGAUUCACAUGUAUAUGAUGAAGCCUAUAGGAAAAAUUUCUAAGGAAUCUAGCUAAUGACAAUAAUUUGAUAUUCUAGAUGAUGACAUAUUGAUGUUUCUUAUAUGCACUUAAUUGUUUAUUCUAUUGGUCCCUUAUCCGUAUGGAGUGCUCAGACAUUAUAGGGUUUCAAAAUGAGUGUCAAAAUUACGGCGAAACAUUGACUAAAUUUUGUUUUGCCACAUUUCUGGCACUUGAUCUUUCAUUUUUAUCAGAAGUUAUGCCCAAUUUUUCGUCGAUCCAUACUUUUUAAUGUUUAUUUUAUCGACGUGUUGAAUGUACUAUGUAUAAAUGAUGCCAUUAAACUAUGUGAUUUCUAUUUGAUUUCUUCUGCUACUUAAAUGUUAUAUAGUGUAUUUAUACGUGUUUGUUCUAAUUCUUGUUGGUUUAGAUUAACGACACAACAAUGUCAAAACUAUGUUAUUUCUAUUUCAUUUCUAAACAUUAAUAUAAGGAAUGAACCAAGAAUGGACUUGGUGUGGCGGCAACAGGCUAGGUGCCUGCCACAGGUGCACCUUCAAUGCAAUGAAAUAGAAAUAGAUCUUCAGGAGGACUUUCUUGAGUGGUUGGUAUGUGUUAAUUCAACUUGUGUUGUGGCUAAUGAGUUGCUCACGUUUAUAAAGUUGCACACCAAAAUGACUAAUUGUUGUUUUCUUUCAAUUAUGCACAGUGCGUCCCUUGUUGGGGAAGGGCAGACUUCACGCAUAGGGAAAAACUACCUAUAGAAGAGGAGGGCACAUUUGAGGUCAAGAUGGCCUUGUUAAAAAAGGGCAUAGCCUUGGUCACCAACUAGGCACACCGAACGUACUUCAGUGGUUCUAGUUGGAUACAUAUUGCAACAUAAAUGAAGAUGGAAGCUGGGAGGGCGUGCAUGUUGUUUCUUGGCAAAGUAAAUGAUACCGAUGACAUCUAUUUGUGGUACAAUAUCUCGCAGUCACCAUUGUUGUUUCUUGGUAUUGAUCCCGUCGUACUAUCAUUUCGUUGAACAUACAUGUUGUAUGCGGUUAAUGUAAUUUUAUUUGAAAGCGUUAAGCAAUAAAUGUAUGUUCUUAAAGUGUGCUAUAUAUGCGGAAAUUACUUUUGGAGGCCGAGCUCCAUGAAGGCCUCCAAAUGCAAAAUUCAAAAUUCAAAAUUCACAUUUUUACAGUUCAAAAAAUUCUAAAAAAAAUACAGAGAUAGAUGAAGGCAAAGUGCACAAGUAUGUAAAUUUUCAGGAUGAAAUACGUUGAAAUGAGGGCUGUGCAAAAAAGACAAAUCUGAGGCUUUUUAACAAAUGAUACUAUUCAUCCUCCUAGACCAUGAAUUAUUCUUCUUGUAAAGGUUGCAUUUCAAUGUAUUUCAUCCUGAAAUUUUACACACAUACGCCUCACAUCCUUAUUUACUCGUACAAAAAAUUUCAUUUUGAAACCGGAAUUUUGAAUUUUUUAAAAAACCGGCCUCCAUGGAGGCCAAGUGCCAAACGUCUGUUCUCCUAUAUACGACUCUGCAAGGAUAAUAUUACUAUUAAAAUUAAAACAGCCGUCACGGCAGUAAAAAACACUGCCGCGACAACUUUUAUUCUUUUGGCUUGGCAAAGUAUAUCACUGGUGCCCGCGACAGGUACUGAGAAUAACAGUGAUGGGCAACACGUCCGCCACUGAAGCCAUGUUAUCAGUGGCGGCCAUCAUUGAGAGACUUUUUUUGCGAAUACGCAUAGCUUGCGUAUCAUUUCAUUGAUAGAAGAAGUUAGAACGAGUACAAGAUGUGGUACAAUACAUGACACGAGCGCAAGGGUGUGAACAUGGUGUCCGGAGCAGAGAGACAUGAGAUGCUCGGCCCAAACAAAGAAAAAAAACACGACUAAACUCGCCAUCCUCAGAACUAGCCCAAACCAAUAACACGACGACCAACACCUCCAGAUCCAGAACCGAGGACACCGCGAGCAACCAAGACGACGCCUUCACGAAGGGGAACGACGCCGAGACGCCAUCACCGUCCGAUCCGGAUAACCGGACCUAGGGUUUCCCCUGAUGCUCGAAGAGGGGCACAAACAACAGUCGUGACAGCGCCUCCAAGAAGGGGACGGCACCCACGGGUGUCGCCUUUGCCAACAAAAGAUGCAGCGAUUUCGCCCUAGCCUGAGUCUGAGCAAUCCCAAGCCAUCGGAGCACGAAUAGGAGAAGAAGUUGGCAUAGGCCUGAACCACAACCACAAGAAUGGGAGCGACGCCGGGCGCGCGAGCAACAAAGCGACGGAGGGACAAACGGGGCACGGAGGUGGACGACUGGGCGGAAUGGGAAGCGGAGGAGAAUGUGAUGGUGGCCGGAGGCUCGAGCGAGCCAGGGUCCGGGUCACCGGGACCGAAGCAACACGGACGUUGACAAGUUCGAGGAGCCGGAAGGGGGUGCAGCUCCUAGAGCAAGCCGGAGUCGAAGAUGCACCGGGUUGGAUGGCCAACCAAGGCACCAGCUGGGUGUAGGUGCGAAGGCGCCGAGGCGUCGGCGAGCCAAGGGAGCCGGAAGGAGCACAGCUCCCGGGGGCGCCGGGCCCGGAGCAGCCCUUACCGGCCAUGGGCGUAGGAAGGAGUGCAGGUCCAUGUCCGUUGGGCAGGACUCGCCCCUGCCGGGGUGGGGUGGUGGUGGUGAGCACGCGCACAGCCGAAAUCCCGACAACGCCUCCAAGGCCGCCGCCCGAGGGGUCAGAAGCUCGCGAGGGAGGGGUGGGGGAGAGGAGCCGCAUUAUGGACGACGCACAACGCGAGGGCAGCCAGGGCAGCCGCCGUCGGCACCAAGGCGCAACCGAACCGCCGUACGAAGCUGCGACCUGCGUCCCCGGCCAGUAGCAGCAGAUGGGGGCUAUAUCCAUGAGGAGGAAGCAGGGGAGCAACUUGCACAGGAGGCAAGAGAAGUCGGACCGGCUGGGCGGGGAGCAGCCACCGGAGAAGACCGUCUCGAGCCGCACAAAAGUGGAUCUCGGGGCAGGGGUGGGUGGGGGACGCAACAGGAGGUACGUAUCUGCCCCGCCGCCACCAUCCCUGGGCUCGGCAAAGCUUCGCCGGCAAGCCCUCCAGCGGCUGCGAAGCGGGGAGGGGCGGAGGAUGUGCCUGGCGGCGGCGCUGGGUAGGGUUUCCCCCGUGUCGCCUGUGGUGGCGAUGCGGGGGCCGUCCGGGGAUAUUGAGAGUCUCGCCCGCAAGUGAUAGGCUUUUGGCACCCAUCACUGCAAGAGUGAAAUGAGUUUUGAACGGUGGAUGAGGGUGUGGGCUGGUAUCACGUUCUUUUUUAUAACAAUACUAGAACAAUGCCCGUGCAUUACAGCGGGAUAUAAAUAUUCUAGUAUGUUAGCUUGUGAUUUACCUGUUAAUAAUAAUGCGAUUGUGUGUAAAUGCUAAUCAAAUUCUGACCGUGGAGUACCUUAUAUUUUGAUUAGAAGUUUAAUAAGUAAACUAAAGUGAAAUUGGUUCAGAAGGUAAGUAAAUUAAGAUGAUUGGUUAUCAUAUACAUGAAACGUUGAACGAAUGGGUGGUGAGAAAAAUGAUGAAAUAAAAACCUUAAGUUCUUUUUAAGUGGUAGAGGUUAAGUAAUAGAGAUAUAUGCUGCAAGUUCGAGCAUAAGGAAAAGAAAAAUGGCGCUGAGAAGAAUGCACAGACGUGCCGAAUUAACAAACAAUUUAAAGCUGCUACUGUAGAGGAUUGAUGAGGUGAAAAUCUAUUUCACCUGCUAGAUAGCUAGGUUGGGAUAUGCUACCCCGCAUGCAUAGAGCGAAAGCAAUAUUGCAACGUUUCAGACCCGAGUCCUGUUGGGAGACGCAAGCUACGUAGGUGGCAACUACAUGGAAUUAGUAAUAAGGCCAAUAAAAUCAGGCAUGAACAGUUAGGUUAUGGAUCUAUCAGGCAUUAAUACUUCGUUUCAUACUGUAGAGGUGCCGCUCGGCUACGGAAUUGUAGAAAGUUCAGUUGCCUUAGGAGACGUUCCGGAGACCACUUUAGAUGUCGACUGGACUGUUUGAUUGCUACCCUACCCUGAGCGCAGAUGCAUGGUCUGCCUUUCCUUUGAUCUGCUGGAGGUAUCGUCUUUGAUAUCUCAGCCUGGGAGCUCUUGGCUACGCAGAGCUGUCGGACUCGGCCCUAGGAAAUCGGUGGCCUGAGCUUCUGCCUUGGUACACGUACAAUCACUGCUCUAUCUUGUAGAGUAUCAAACCGGCUCUUGGACUAGCCAUAAUGGAUAGUAACAUACACUACUAACAUACACAUAUUCCUAGACUAUGUUACUUGAGUAGUAACUUAAGUGUGGUAACAUGCAAAGAUUCAUUUAUUAGGUUAUAGACUCAUAUUGCAUUGAGGCAUGUGAUGUUACAGUAACUAGUUAAGUUACUACAACUAUCUCUCUCCUCAUUAACUCAUUGUCACAUAAGCAAAUUUGCUGAGUUGGACACGAUGUUACUGCUGAAGUUACUCCCACUGUGGCUAGUCUUAUAACGGAUUAGAGGAGUAAAAUUUGAUUUUAUUUCUCUAACAGACGUCUAGCCGAUCCCAAUCCAUCGUAAUGGAGGAUAAAUUAUCCUCAACCGCGUAUCUUUUCGCUAAANNNNNNNNNNNNNNNNNNNNNNNNNNNNNNNNNNNNNNNNNNNNNNNNNNNNNNNNNNNNNNNNNNNNNNNNNNNNNNNNNNNNNNNNNNNNNNNNNNNNNNNNNNNNNNNNNNNNNNNNNNNNNNNNNNNNNNNNNNNNNNNNNNNNNNNNNNNNNNNNNNNNNNNNNNNNNNNNNNNNNNNNNNNNNNNNNNNNNNNNNNNNNNNNNNNNNNNNNNNNNNNNNNNNNNNNNNNNNNNNNNNNNNNNNNNNNNNNNNNNNNNNNNNNNNNNNNNNNNNNNNNNNNNNNNNNNNNNNNNNNNNNNNNNNNNNNNNNNNNNNNNNNNNNNNNNNNNNNNGCCAUCCCUCCCACCCCCCGCUGGCACCCUCCCACCACCGCGGAUGCUCCGUAGGCUCCGUCGCGGUCCUUGACCACUUGGAUUUGUGCCUCGUUGUCCCGUCGCCGGCACAGAACUGGUGGAUUUGCGGCUGCUGUACCGUCGCCGCCGGAUUUGGCACUUCCGGCCGCCGGCGACUGUGCCUUGCUAUGGAUUGGCCGGGAAACGGACCACACAGCCCCGACAAUGCCUCCGCGCCGCAUGCUGGUAUUGACUCCGCCUCUAGCCAGAUAUAUAUAGGGGAUUGGAUUGGUCCAGCCAAAUCUUAGUGGAGUAAAAAUACUCCACAAAGGUUUUACUCCGCUGGAUACUCAGCUAUUUUUAGGGGAUUGGUUAGAAAUGCCUGUAGAUGGGUUCAAGAGUUCACAUAAUCGGAUCCAUGGAGGUGGAUGCACCCUGACACAACAGUACUUGUAGUCGUCGCUAUGUGGUCUACCAAUAUAGAUGUAAUUUUUAUUAUUUCUGAUGUUCGUUGUACUGCUAUGAUUAAAGGAAUAGAUUGGAAGUUUUCUUGAAAGAAAACGACGGCUAUAACCUCGGGAAAACAAUGGACCAAACACGGGAAGAAAAGAUCCAGCAUUUGCUGGCUUUUUAUUGAUUUAGCAUAGAGCAGAUGGAAACAUGGUGUGAUCAAGUGAUCAAAUGGGUGACAGAGGCAACAGAGAUAGAAAGGGGGUCCUUGCGCCCAAAAAUUAGCUACUCAGUCAUGGUUACAGUUCCAUGGGAGCAGCCAAACACUGUCUUGAAUAUGUGGAGCCAUGAGGCAGUUUCAGGGUCAGGGCAGCAACCAAGAAGUUCACACCACCAGUAACUUUUCUUCCCGCAAAAAAACAUAUAAAAAAACAAAGUAAAAGCAAAGAGACACAUGCCAAUUGCAAAGAGAUCGGGCGUACUUUCUAGCGGGUACAUGCACUUGCAGGGUGGAUCGACCUUCUCAAUUAACUCCACCAGCCAACGACCUGGCAGCGACCGGCAUCAAUUGCUCAAUCAAUCCUGCAUGUUCAUCGCUCCCCUAUUUAUACCCUCGAAACCACACCCUUUCCUCCACACCAUCACACUCCACUAGCUUAACCACACCGCCGACACUCAUCUGAUCACCCACUAGCUAGCUAGCAGCUUAAGGAACUUCCAGCUAGCGAUCGAUGGCUCGUCUCAACAGCAAGGCUGUGGUGUCCGCCGUGGUCCUGGCGGCGGUGGUGCUAAUGAUGGCCGGCAGGGAGGCGACGGCACUGUCGUGCGGGCAGGUGGACUCCAAGCUCGCGCCGUGCGUGUCGUACGUGACGGGGAAGGCGCCCUCGAUCAGCAAGGAGUGCUGCUCCGGUGUGCAGGGGCUGAACGGCCUGGCCCGCAGCAGCCCGGACCGCAAGAUAGCGUGCAGGUGCCUCAAGAGCCUCGCCACCAGCAUCAAGUCCAUCAACAUGGACAAGGUCUCCGGCGUGCCCGGCAAGUGCGGCGUCAGCGUGCCCUUCCCCAUCAGCAUGUCCACCAACUGCAACAAGUAUGUUCUAAUCUUUCGGUCUACUCAUCCAAAUGCAUGCAUUUUCAUCUUCUCGCGUAGCCGUCUAGUCCAGAUCUUGUGCAUAUUUCCAUAUCGUGCUACUCCAUAACCGUCUGUUUUCACGUUAUAAAAAACAAACGUUUUUUUACACCAGGCCAAACAGUUACUGUAGUUUUAAUCCAGCAUCCGAGCUACUAGUACAGAAGAGAAAAGGUUCUGCCAAUACAAACAAUAUGACCCCCCAAAAAAGAGGACAAAUACUAGAACAACUCAUGAGCAAACACGUACCUGCAUAGUUUUUCUUAAGAGCUAGGAAGUGAGUAUAUAGUAACAAAACAGUGAUAUUAAGUUCAUAUUGAAGAAAAACGGUCGAUCGUGUAUUUUAGCAUGUUACAUCUAACGUGAUUUUCUCUGACAUAAUAUAUAUGUCUUAUUCUUAUGCAGUGUCAACUAGUUCAAUAUAUAACCCUUCCGACGUGCAUGCAAGGACGCGCUUGUGUGGAGCUUAAUGUCUACGUUGAUGGAGUGCUCAUACGAUACUGAGCUACUAAAUAAUAAAAUGAAGUUGCUUGCGUGUGUUAUUUCAGUACUGUGUCACUGUGUGUCUGUGUCCAUGUCUGUACCUUGCGCACACACUGUGUGUGCAUAUAUAUUUAUGCGACAUGUAUGCAUGCGUCCGUAUGCGUGAGUGAACUGUCAACUCUUUGCUGUACUCUAGUGUAGCCGAUGUGUACGUGUGAUGUGCCUGACCUACUUGUUCAGGCAAUUAAUGAAUAGUAAUUAUUUUCCUAAUUAUUGACGUGCAUGGAUGUCCAGCUAUUGCACUAUCCAGCAGUAUGAUGGAGCAUUGUGCACUAUACGGAUGUUUUGAGCCAGAAGAUGCAUGCGUGCAAUACGCGCCGUGGCCACUUUUGUGUCCCAAAUGAACGAGAUCUCCACUAGUUUGGACUUUCUGUGUCGUGAUUUUGUACUCCACAACACAAUAUAGUGCUCCAAAUUAACUACGAGACGUUUUCCUUCUGAUAGGGAAAACACUCAAACAGAAAAACACACAAGAACUUGUUAAACAGAAACACACGCAAGAAACAAAGAAUGAAAACACAUGAAAAAAUUUAAAGCAGAAUUGGGAACCCCGAACGUCCGUAUAAUACUGUGAAGUGUGAGUACAGUCGAAGACAUGACACGUCGAAUCUAGUACACAUAUGACUGGAAUAACCUAUAAACAUAUCACAGUCGUUCAGAAAAUGUAUUUCGUUGUGGAAUUAAAAAAAUGUAUUACGAUGUGAACAGUUGUAAAAAAAGUCAUAGUUUUAAAUAGCGUGCUAUCUCGGUCCUAUAACAUUUGCAGGGCGUCAUGCUAAGCCAUUCAGUAGAAUUUAGCGUGUUAUAUAUUUUUCACAAAUAUGCAGAGCUUUAGGUGGUACAACACAUGGCACGAACGCAAGAGGCGAGACAUGGUACAUGAUGCCCGAAGCAGAGAUAAAUGCGAUGCUCAGCCCAAACAGAAAAAAAACACAGUUACACACGCUGUCCUGAGAGCCCCAACCAACAACUAGACAACCAACAUCUCCAAAUCCAGAACCGAGGAUGCCGCGAAAAAAACAAGACAACGCCAUCGUGAAGAAGAAUGACGCCGAGAUGUCGUCGCCAUCCGAUUCGGAUGACCGGACCUAGGGUAUCCCCUGAUGCUCAAAAUGGGACACCGAUAACGGCCAUGGCAGCACCUCCAAGAAGGGGAAGACACCCGCGAGUGUCGCCGUUGCCAGCAUAGGAUGCAUGGAUUUUGCCCUCGCCUGAGUAUGAACAAUCCCAAGCCGUCGGAGCAUGAAUCGGAGAAGAGGAAGUCUGGCAUAGGUUGAAGAUGCGGCCAGUACAGGAAGGAGAGCUACGCCCGCCGCUGAAGGAGGCACAGGGCACCGUCGGACGUGGGAGGACCAGAGCAGGCGGAAGGAUGGACAGGUCACGAAGGUGGGUGAGGUUGGGUGGUUGGACGGAAUGAGAGACAUCGGGGCAUGAUAAUGGCUGGAGACCGAAAUGAUCCUGGAUCUGGAGGGAAGCGUGUUGGAAUAAAGAGCCACGGCCAGAGUGUGGUGGCCGCGUGAGCGCACGCAGAGUCCGUGGUUCAGGGGGUGCGUGUGCGUGCGUGAGUCAGGCUGGUGCGUGCGUGUGUGAGUGGACCCAGCUAGCGUGCGUAGACCAGGAGGUUACUGGAUCGCUAUGUAGGCGUGAUCGCUGCGGGCUGGCCACGAGCUGCAUGCGUACGUGCGCGAGGUGGCCGCGAGCUGAGCGGGCCGAUCGGGGCGCCAGGAGGGGUGGGUGCGUGUGGGUCGUGCCCAACGCAGGCCCGUCAAUAUAAGCCCCUGGUCGAUCAUUGUAACGGUGUGGUCUAGGGCAUCGAGUUCGAGCUCGAGGAAAUAUACGCCGUACGUGCAGCGGCGGGCGUUCGAGCGCCCGGAAAAACUCUGUGUCCACCCCUUCCAUCCCUUCUUCUUCCUCGGUCCGUUGCACAGCAGAGAGAGAGAGGACUAGAUAGGGUUCGGCAAGGCCACGGCAACAACAAUUGGUAUACAGAGCUUCGGUUCGGGCGAUCACCGGCGACCAUGGCCCUCGUCCCACACGGCGGCGGCGCGGGCGGAUCGGCGACGACGGCGAUGCCGAUGCUGACCGCAGACAACUACACGGUCUGGGCCAUCAAGGCGCAAGCGAUCCUCGAUGUCCACACCGUAUGGGAGGCGGUGGUGCCAGGCGACGCGGCAGUGAACGCGCGGAAGGACAAGAUGGCGCGUGCGUUGCUUCUCGGGGCGUUGCCGGAGGAUGUGCUGCUGCAGGUGUUGACGAAGCUCACCGCCAGGGAGGUAUGGGACUCCCUGAAGGUGAGGUUCGUCGGCGCCGACCGGGUCCGUGCGGCGAGGCUGGCGACGCUGCGCGGCGAAUUUGACCUCCUGAAGAUGGCGGACGGCGAGGAGCUCGCGGCGAUGGCGGCGAGGUAAGCCAAGCUCGGGGAGACGCUGGGCGACGCGGCGCUCGUCAAAGAAGCUGCUGGAUACGGUGCCGGAUCGGCUCUUCCCCGUCGUCGCCGGCAUCAAGCAGUUCCACGACGUGACGACGAUGGCGUUCGACGAGGCGCUCGGGCGACUGCGCGCGUUCGACGAGCGUGUUCGGCGCCGUGGACAAGACGGCGGCGAGCGGGCGGACAGACAGCUCCUGUACACUGCGGCGCAGUGGCGGGCACGGGAGCGGCGUCAAGGCAGAGGUCGGGGCGACGACGACGACGUGCGCAGCGUGGCGAAGAGGGGCGGCGGCAACAGGCGCGGGCGCUGCUACAAGUGCGGCGAGCGCGACCACUUCAAACGGGAUUGUCCCCAGCUCCGGAGGGCACCAGCGGCGGAGCAGGCGCUGCUGGCGAACGCCGGCGUCGAGGAUGACGGACUCCUCUAAGCCGUGGCUCAGCGGGUGAGUGUUGGAAUAAAGAGCCACGGCCAAAGUGUGGUGGGCGCGUGAGCGCGCACAGGGCGCGACGGGCGCGGGCCGGAUUGUGUCGGGUCCAUGGUUCAGGGGGUGUGUGUGCGUGCGUGAGUCAGGCUGGUGCGUGCGUGUGUGCAUGGACCCAGCUAGCGUGCAUAGACCAGGAGGUUACUGGAUCGCUAUGUAGGCGUGAUCGCUACGGGCUGGCCGCGAGCUGCAUGCGUACGUGCGCGAGGUGGCCGCGAGCUGAGCGGGCCGAUCGGGGCGCCAGGAGGGGUGGGUGCAUGUGGGUUGUGCCCAACGCAGGCCCUUCAAUAUAAGCCCCUGGUCGAUCAUUGUAACGGUGUGGUCUAGGGCAUCGAGUUCGAGCUCGAGGAAAUAUACGCCGUACGUGCGGCGGCGGGUGUUCGAGCGCCCGGAAAAACUCCUGUGUCCACCCCUUCCAUCCCUUCUUCUUCCUCGGUCUGUUGCACAGCAGGAGAGAGAGAGAGAGGACUAGCUAGGGUUCGGCAAGGCCACGGCAACAACAAAGCGCAUAUCCAGGCUACGGGGACAGGGGCAGCAAGGACGUCGGCGAGCCCAAGGAGCUGUAAGGAGACGCAGCUUCCACAGUGUGUCGAAAUCAAAGAUGCGCAGGUAUGGACGGCCAACCAAGGGCACCAACAGGGUGGGGUGCGAAGAGGCCGAGGUGCAUGUGAGCUAAAGGAGCCGGAAAGAGUGAAGCUCCCGGGGAGAGCAGAAGCCGGACCCGCGCUAGCCAGCCAUGAUCGCAGGAGCGAACGCAUGUCCAUGGCCGUCGGGCUUGCAGUCACCCCUGUGGAGGGGUGAUGGAGAGCUCGCGCGAAGCCAACCUCCUGGACGGCAUGCUGCAAGAAGCAGCCGUCGUCAGGCACAACCAAAUGCCUUCAUGGUUGCCUCUCAGGAAGUCUGACCUGAAUUUCGAACUGGGCGGGGGGAGGGUAGCAGCGCGGAGGACGCGCCGAGCAACCAUGACAGGUUGGCCGAAGAACGCCACAACCGGUCGGGAGGGGAGCUUCCAAAUCGCACAGGGUAGGAGGGCUGGGGCAGAGUAGGCACCGCAGUGCGCCAGGGUUGGAGCCGCCCCGCCACCACCAUCCCAGGGUACAUCGCGGCUUCGCUGGUAGGCCCUCUGGCAACAACGAUGUAGAGGGGCGGCAGAGGGCUAGCUUGUAGCGGUGGUUAGGGCUUCCCCGUGUCACGGGUCACGGAUGGUGCAGGGGGAUGGGGUAUCGAACGUCAUGACCCGGUUUAUUAAGGCCAAAUUCCAUCCGAUGGGCACCACACUUAUUUUUGAAGAAAGACACCAAAAUGACAUCUUAGAUCUGAUAGUAAUCAAGGAAAACAAGUUGUAUGAGGGGACGACAACUGGAGGCAGAAUGACUAGUAAAAAAUAAAUUAUAUUGAAAAUCAUACUAGCUUUGUUCUUCCUCGGAUUGAUUGCCACCCACCAGAGAUCGAAAAUCAAACUGAAGCAACGGUAAAGGAAAUAGGACACCUGCAAACGCCCUCGCCAUACUAGGCUUUAAAGACCGCAAUAGUCACUCGUCACACGAAACAGGAUCAGGAAGUUGUUGAAGAAACAUAAGUUGGCGCAUCACGCACCACAUUGCAGGCUUGUAAUCAUCACCACCGGUCCAGAGAGUUGGAGAAACCAGAACAUGCCGCGGAAUAAAAUGAAAGAAGAUAUCAAAGUCGUGGCAUCAAUAGCAAGCCAAUUUCCCUCCUUGAUAGUCACACUAACUGCCACGAUCGGAUGCAUCACAGUGAUCCCAGAACCUCCGAGGCGAAGGACGAGUAUAGCCGUCCUCAGCGCAGUAAUAACAAUCAUAUCUGGAAGCGCUGAAACAACAAGCAUGACGACAAGGAGGUCAACGCCGAGUUCGAAGGCGAGCUCCAGUGCGGUCCCGGCCCAAAGAACCGCCAGUGGCCAGCUAAGAAGAAGCAAGGUGGUCUUGACACUAUCAAGACCAUGGACAAGCCAUGCGACUACCACUCGUGUUUUUAUGUCCAUUUUGCAUCAUGUUUUUAUGUUGAUAUUUAUUGCAUUAUGGACUAUUAUUUCACGUUAUGAUACAAUUCUUAUGCUUUUCUCUCUUAUUUUGCAAGUCUCGCAUGAAGAGGGAGAUUGCCGGGAGCUGGAAUUCUGGACCUGAAAGGGCUAUAUCGGAAGCAGCUUUUCUGAACAUCUCCAAAUGAGCUGAAAAUUUAUGAAGUAUUAUUUUGGAAUAUAUUAAAAUUAUUGGCGAAAGAAAUAUCAGAAGGGGACCCACCAGGAGGCAAUAAGCCUAGGGGCGCCCCCUGGGCUUGUCGUGCCCUAGGCAGGCAUCCGGGGCCCAUCUUAUCCUAUAUGGUGCCAUUUGACCUAGAAAAAUCAGAAGAAGGGUUUCGGGACGAAGCGCUGUCGUCUCGAGGUGGAACCUGGGCAGGAGCACUUUUGCUCUCCGGCGAAGAGAUUCCGUCGGGGAAACUUCCCCCUGGGAGGGGAAAUCGAAGCCAUCGUCAUCACCAACGAUCCUUGUUCGCACACAAACACGUCACCAUGUACCCUCGACGCUAGGGGUGAUGCACCGCAACUUACCUUGAAGGAGACUCGGCCGGAAGCGCGGUACGCAAGCAAUCCGACGGGCGCUUUUGUAGACCCGAAACCCCACACGCCCGAGAGGGACCCCAUCUGGGGGCGCGACAGCUAUGGGCUGCCCUAUGUCGACCUGACCGCCCAUAGAUCCUCGUGGAUAUGCAGCCCUCCAUUGCUGAAGAACGAUGAAGAACGAGAAGAAAGAUACAGGGGUGGGGGAUAGAUGAACACAAAAAAGUGGUAGAUGUGUUUGUUUGAUUGUGUGGUGUUUAAUCGGCCAUCACCUCUCAUCUAUUUAUGAGGCGGCUGGACUUCCCGUACAAGAAAAGGACUCCAAAUCUCGUUCAAAUCCUUCCAAAAUUAGCUGAACUCGGAUUAGGUAUGUAUGAGACAGCAGUUCGAUAUUUUUUGUUUCACAUGCCAAAUACGACCUCGGAUGAAGAUGCGCCGAAAAGCAAAUUUAACCAUUUCGACGAGCGAACAACGUGUUGAACGUUUUUCGAUUCGAAGCCAUUUUGAGGGCCGAAUGGCUCGCGUGACCCAUCAGACAUCGUGUUUAAUGCCACGGGCCAGUUUUUACUCAUGAUAGUGAAGGAAAUAUGCACUAGAAGCAAUAAUAAAGUUGUUAUUUAUAUUUCCUUAUAUCAUGAUAAAUGUUUAUUAUUCAUGCUAGAAUUGUAUUAACUGGAAACUUAGUACAUGUCUGAAUACAUAGACAAACAGAGUGUCCCUAGUAUGCCUCUACUUGACUAGCUUGUUAAUCAAAGAUGGUUAAGUUUCCUAGCCAUAGACAUGUGUUGUCAUUUGAUGAACGGGAUCACAUCAUUAGGAGAAUGAUGUGAUGGACAAGACCCAUCCGUUAGCUUAGCAUUAUGAUCGUUAAGUUUUAUUGCUAUUGCUUUUUUCAUGACUUAUACAUAUUCCUCUGACUAUGUGAUUAUGCAACUCCCGAAUACUAGAGGAACACCUUGUGUGCUAUCAAACGUCACAACGUAACUGGGUGAUUAUAAAGAUGCUCUACAGAUGUCUCUGAAGGUGUUUGUUGGGUUGGCAUAGAUCAAGAUUAGGAUUUGUCACUCCGUGUAUCGAAGAGGUAUCUCUGGGCCCUCUCGGUAAUGCACAUCAUAAUAAGCCUUGCAAGCAAUGUGACUAAUGAGUUAGUUACGGGAUGAUGUAUUAUGGAACGAGUAAAGAGACUUGUCGGUAACGAGAUUGAACUAGGUAUGAAGAUAUCGACGAUCGAAUCUCGGGCAAGUAACAUACCGAUGACAAAGGGAAUAACGUAUGUUGUCAUAACGGUUCGACCGAUAAAGAUCUUCGUAGAAUAUGUAGGAGCCAAUAUGGGCAUCCAGGUUCCGCUAUUGGUUAUUGACCAGAGAGGUGUCUCGGUCAUGUCUACAUAGUUCUCGAACCCGUAGGGUCCGCACGCUUAACGUUCGUUGACGAUAUAGUAUUAUAUGAGUUAUGUAUGUUGGUGACCGAAUGUUGUUCGGAGUCCCAGAUGAGAUCGCGGACAUGACGAGGUGCUCCGGAAUGGUCCGGAGGUAAAGAUUGAUAUAUAGGAUGAUAUGGUUCGGCCAAGGGGUGAAGCCCACGAGGCUUUAGGUCGGUGCGAAAGGAGUUUUGCGGAGGCCAGGGGGCCAAACGCCGGAGACCCUGGCCUCUGGCCCUGGGCCAGAUGCCAAGGCCCAUGGCGUCUGGGCCAGACACCAAGGAUUGUGGCGUUUGGUCUUGGGGUCCGAUUGGGACUCUUGCCUUUCGGGCAAAACUGACUUUGAGGAGGCUUUUGCUCCAAGUUUCGACCCCAGGGCUCAACAUAUAAAUAGAGGGGCAGGGCUAGCACCAAAGACACAUGAAGAAACACCAAGACGUGUGCCGGCAACCUUGUCCCCUCUAGUUUAUCCUCCGUCAUAGUUUUCGUAGUGCUUAGGCGAAGCCCUGCGGAGAUUGUUCUUCACCAGCACCGUCACCACGCCGUCGUUCUGCCGGAACUCAUCUACUACUUCGCCCCUCUUGCUGGUUCACGAAGGCGAGGAUGUCAUCGAGCUGAACGUGUGCUGAACGCGGAGGUGCCAUACAUUCGAUACUUGAUCGGGACGGAUCGUGAAGGUGUACGACUACAUCAACCGCGUUGAUAAACGCUGCCGCUUUCGGUCUACGAGGGUACGUAGACACACUCUUCCCUCUCGUUGCUAUGCAUCUCCUAGAUAGAUCUUGCAUGAUCGUAGGAUUUUUUUUGAAAUACCGCAUUCCCCAACAGUGGCAUCCGAGCCAGGUCUAUGCGUAGAUGUUAUAUGCACAAGUAGAACACAUGUGAGUUGUGGGCGAUAAUAGUCAUACUGCUUACCAGCAUGUCAUACUUUGAUUCGGCAGUAUUGUUGGAUGAAGCAGCCCGGACCGACAUUACGCGUACGCUUACGCGAGACUGGUUCUACCGACGUGCUUCGCACACAGGUCGCUGGCUGGUGUCAGUUUCUCCAACUUUAGUUGAAUCGAGUGUGGCUACGCCUGGUCCUUGUUGGAGGUUAAAACAUCACAUACUUGACGAAAAAUCGUUGUGGUUUUGAUGCGUAGGUAAGAACGAUUCUUGCUCAGCCCAUAGCAGCCACGUAAAACUUGCAACAACAAAGUAGAGGACGUCUAACUUGUUUUUGUAGGGCAUGUUAUGAUGUGAUAUGGUCAAGACAUGAUGCUAAAUUUUAUUGUAUGAUAUGAUCAUGUUCUGUAACGGAGUUAUCGGCAACUGGCAGGAGCCAUAUGGUUGUCGCUUUAUUGUAUGCAAUGCAAUCGCCCUGUAAUUGUUUUUACUUUAUCACUAAGCGGUAGCGAUAGUUGUAGAAUCAAUAGUUGGCGAGACGACAACGAUGCUUCGAUGGAGAUCAAGGUGUCAAGCCGGUGGCGAUGGUGAUCAUGACGGUGCUUUGGAGAUGGAGAUCAAAGGCACAAGAUGAUGAUGGCCAUAUCAUAUCACUUAUAUUGAUUGCAUGUGAUGUUUAUCCUUUAUGCAUCUUAUUUUGCUUAGUACGACGGUAGCAUUAUAAGAUGAUCCCUCACUAAAUUUCAAGGUAUAAGUGUUCUCCCUGAGUAUGCACUGUUGCGACAGUUCUUCGUGCUGAGACGCCACGUGAUGAUCGGGUGUGAUAAGCUCUACGUUCACAUACAACGGGUGCAAGCCAGUUUUGCACACGCAGAAUACUCGGGUUAAACUUGACGAACCUAGCAUAUGCAGAUAUGGCCUCGGAACACUGAGACCGAAAGGUCGAGCGUGAAUCAUAUGUUGGAAAUAUGCCCUAGAGGCAAUAAUAAAAUGGUUAUUAUUAUAUUUCCUUGUUCAUGAUAAUUGUCUAUUGUUCAUGCUAUAAUUGUGUUAUUCGGAAAUCGUAAUACAUGUGUGAAUACAUAGACCACAACAUGUCCCAAGUGAGCCUCUAGUUGACUAGCUCGUUGAUCAAAAGAUAGUCAUGGUUUCCUGACUAUGGACAUUGGAUGUCAUUGAUAACGGGAUCAUAUCAUUAGGAGAAUGAUGUGAUGGACAAGACCCAAUCCUAAGCAUAGCACAAAGAUCGUGUAGUUCGUUUGCUAGAGCUUUUCCAAUGUCAAGUAUCAUUUCCUUAGACCAUGAGAUCGUGUAACUCCCGGAUGCCGUAGGAGUGCUUUGGAUGUACCAAACGUCACAACGUAACUGGGUGACUAUAAAGGUACACUACAGGUAUCUCUGAAAGUGUCUGUUGGGUUGACACGGAUCGAGACUGGGAUUUGUCACUCCGUAUGACGAAGAGGUAUCUCUGGGCCCACUCGGUAAUGCAUCAUCAUAAUGAGCUCAAUGUGACCAAGUGUUUGGUCACGGGAUCAUGCAUUACGGUACGAGUAAAGUGACUUGCCGGUGACGAGAUUGAACAAGGUAUUGGGAUACCGACGAUCGAAUCUCGGGCAAGUAACGUACCGCUUGACAAAGGGAAUUGUAUACGGGAUUGAUUGAAUCCUCGACAUUGUGGUUCAUCCGAUGAGAUCAUCGAGGAACAUGUGGGAGCCAACAUGGGUAUCCAGAUCCCGCUGUUGGUUAUUGACCGGAGAGUCGUCUCGGUCAUGUCUGCAUGUCUCCCGAACCCGUAGGGUCUACACAGUUAAGGUUCGGUGACGCUAGGGUUGUAGAGAUAUUAGUAUGCGGUAACCCGAAAGUUGUUCGGAGUCCCGGAUGAGAUCCCGGACGUCACGAGGAGUUCCGGAAUGGUCCGGAGGUGAAGAAUUAUAUAUAGGAAGUCCAGUUUCGGCCACCGGGAAAGUUUCGGGGGUUACCGGUAUUGUACCGGGACCACCGGAAGGGUCCCGGGGGUCCACCGGGUGGGGCCACCUAUCCCGGAGGGCCCCAUGGGCUGAAGUGGGAGGGGAACCAGCCCCUGGUGGGCUGGUGCGCCCCCGUUGGGCCUCCCCCUGCGCCUAGGGUUGGGAACCCUAGGGGUGGGGGCGCCCCCACUUGGCUUGGGGGGGAAGCCACCUCUUGGCCGCCGCCCCCCUUGGAGAUUGCAUCUCCCAGGGCCGGCGCCCCCCAGGGGCCCUAUAUAUAGUGGGGGGAGGGAGGGCAGCCGCACCACAGCCCCUGGCGCCUCCCUCUCCCUCCCGUGACACCUCUCCCUCUCGCUGAGCUUGGCGAAGCCCUGCCGAGAUCCCCGCUACUUCCACCACCACGCCGUCGUGCUGCUGGAUCUCCAUCAACCUCUCCUUCCCCCUUGCUGGAUCAAGAAGGAGGAGACGUUGCUGCUCCGUACGUGUGUUGAACGCGGAGGUGCCGUCCGUUCGGCGCUCGGUCAUCGGUGAUUUGGAUCACGACGAGUACGACUCCAUCAACCCCGUUCACUUGAACGCUUCCGCUCGCGAUCUACAAGGGUAUGUAGAUGCACUCCUCUCUCUCGUUGCUAGAUGACUCCAUAGAUUGAUCUUGGUGAUGCGUAGCAAAUUUUAAAUUUCUGCUACGAUCCCCAACAGUGGUAUCAGAGCCAGGCCUAUGCGUAGUUUCUAUGCACGAGUAGAACACAAACUUGUUGUGGGCGUUGAUGUUGUCAAUUUUUCUUGCGACUACUAGUCUUAUCUUGUUUCGGCGGCAUUGUGGGAUGAAGCGUCCCGGACCGACCUUACACGUACGCUUACGUGAGACAGGUUCCACCGACUGACAUGCACUAGUUGCAUAAGGUGGCUAGAGGGUGUCUGUCUCUCCCACUUUACUUGGAACGGAUUCGAUGAAAAGGGUCCUUAUGAAGGGUAAAUAGAAAUUGGCAUAUCACUUUGUGGUUUUACAUAGGUAAGAAACGUUCUUGCUAGAAACCUAUAGAAGCCACGUAAAAACAUGCAACAACAAUUAGAGGACGUCUAACUUGUUUUUGCAGCAUGUGCCUUGUGAUGUGAUAUGGCCAAAAGGAUGUGAUGAAUGAGAUAUAUGUGAUGUAUGAGAUUGAUCAUGUUCUUGUAAUUGGAAUCACGACUUGCAUGUCGAUGAGUAUGACAACCGGCAGGAGCCAUAGGAGUUGUCUUUAUUUUUUGUAUGACCUGCGAGUCAUUGAAUAACGCCAUGUAAAUUACUUUACUUUAUUGCUAAACAUGUUAGCCAUAUAAGUAGAAGUAAUCAUUGGCGUGACAACUUCAUGAAGACACGAUGAUGGAGAUCAUGAUGAUGGAGAUCAUGGUGUCAUGCCGGUGACGAAGAUGAUCAUGGCGCCCCGAAGAUGGAGAUCAAAAGGAGCAAAAUGAUAUUGGCCAUAUCAUGUCACUAUUUGAUUGCAUGUGAUGUUUAUCAUGUUUUACAUCUUAUUUGCUUAGAAUGACGGUAGCUUAAAUAAGAUGAUCCCUCGCAAUAAUUUCAAGAAAGUGUUCCCCCUAACUAUGCACCCGUUGCGAAGGUUCGUUGUUUCGAAGCACCACGUGAUGAUCGGGUGUGAUAGAUUCUAACGUUCGAAUACAAUGGGUGUAAGCCAGAUUUACACACGCAAUACACUUAGGUUGACUUGACGAGCCUAGCAUGUACAGACAUGGCCUCGGAACACGGAAGACCGAAAGGUCGAGCAUGAGUCGUAUAGAAGAUACGAUCAACAUGAAGAUGUUCACCCAUGUUGACUAGUCCGUCUCACGUGAUGAUCGGACACGGCCUAGUUGACUCGGAUCAUGUUUCACUUAGAUGACUGGAGGGAUGUCUAUCUGAGUGGGAGUUCAUUGAAUAAUUUGAUUAGAUGAACUUAAUUAUCAUGAACUUAGUCUAAAAUCUUUACAAUAUGUCUUGUAGAUCAAAUGGCCCACGUUGCCCUCAACUUCAACGCGUUCCUAGAGAAAACCAAGCUGAAAGAUGAUGGCAGCAACUAUACGGACUGGGUCCGGAAUCUGAGGAUCAUCCUCAUAGCUGCCAAGAAAGAUUAUGUCCUAGAAGCACCGCUAGGUGAAGCACCCAUCCCAAAGAACCAAGACGUUAUGAACGCUUGGCAGUCACGUGCUGAUGAUUACUCCCUCGUUCAGUGCGGCAUGCUUUACAGCUUAGAACCGGGGCUCCAAAAGCGUUUUGAGCAACACGGAGCAUAUGAGAUGUUCGAAGAGCUGAAAAUGGUUUUCCAAGCUCAUGCCCGGGUCGAGAGAUAUGAAGUCUCCGACAAGUUCUUCAGUUGUAAGAUGGAGGAAAACAGUUCUGUCAGUGAGCACAUACUCAAAAUGUCUGGGUUGCACAACCGCUUGACUCAGCUGGGAGUUAAUCUCCCGGAUGACGCGGUCAUUGACAGAAUCCUUCAGUCGCUUCCACCGAGCUACAAGAGCUUUGUGAUGAACUUCAAUAUGCAGGGGAUGGAAAAGACCAUUCCUGAGGUAUAUUCAAUGCUGAAAUCAGCGGAGGUGGAGAUCAAAAAGGAACAUCAAGUGUUGAUGGUGAAUAAAACCACUAAGUUCAAGAAAGGCAAGGGUAAGAAGAACUUCAAGAAGGAUGGCAAGGGAGUUGCCGCGCCCGGUAAGCCAGUUGCCGGGAAGAAGCCAAAGAAUGGACCCAAGCCUGAGACUGAGUGCUUUUAUUGCAAGGGAAGUGGUCACUGGAAGCGGAACUGCCCCAAAUACUUAGCGGACAAGAAGGCCGGCAACACCAAAGGUAUAUGUGAUAUACAUGUAAUUGAUGUGUACCUUACCAGUACUCGUAGUAGCUCCUGGGUAUUUGAUACCGGUGCGGUUGCUCAUAUUUGUAACUCAAAACAGGAGCUGCGGAAUAAGCGGAGAUUGGCGAAGCACGAGGUGACGAUGCGCGUCGGGAAUGGUUCCAAGGUCGAUGUGAUCGCCGUCGGCACGCUACCUCUACAUUUACCUACGGGAUUCGUUUUAAACCUCAAUAAUUGUUAUUUAGUGCCAGCUUUGAGCAUGAACAUUGUAUCAGGAUCUCGUUUAAUUCGAGAUGGCUACUCAUUUAAAUCCGAGAAUAAUGGUUGUUCUAUUUAUAUGAGAGAUAUGUUUUAUGGUCAUGUCCCGCUGGUUAAUGGUUUAUUCUUAAUGAAUCUCAAACGUGAUGUUACACAUAUUCAUAGUGUGAAUACCAAAAGAUGUAAAGUUGAUAACGAUAGUCCCACAUACUUGUGGCACUGCCGCCUUGGUCACAUUGGUGUCAAGCGCAUGAAGAAGCUCCAUGCUGAUGGACUUUUAGAGUCUCUCGAUUAUGAAUCAUUUGACACAUGCGAACCAUGCCUCAUGGGCAAAAUGACCAAGACUCCGUUCUCCGGAACAAUGGAGCGAGCAACCAACUUAUUAGAAAUCAUACAUACUGAUGUGUGCGGUCCAAUGAGUGUUGAGGCUCGCGGAGGCUAUCGUUAUGUUCUCACUCUCACUGAUGACUUGAGUAGAUAUGGGUAUGUCUACCUAAUGAAACACAAGUCUGAGACCUUUGAAAAGUUCAAGGAAUUUCAGAGUGAGGUUGAGAAUCAACGUGACAGGAAAAUAAAGUUCCUACGAUCAGAUCGUGGAGGGGAAUAUUGAAGUCACGAAUUUGGCACACACUUAAGGAAAUGUGGAAUAGUUUCACAACUCACGCCGCCUGGAACACCUCAGCGAAAUGGUGUGUCCGAACGUCGUAAUCGCACUCUAUUGGAUAUGGUGCGAUCUAUGAUGUCUCUUACCGAUCUACCGCUCUCAUUUUGGGGCUAUGCUUUAGAGACUGCCGCAUUCACAUUAAAUAGGGCUCCGUCGAAAUCCGUUGAGACGACACCGUAUGAAUUAUGGUUUGGGAAGAAACCUAAGCUAUCGUUUCUGAAAGUUUGGGGAUGCGUAUGCUUAUGUCAAGAAACUUCAACCUGAAAAGCUCGAACCCAAGUCGGAAAAAUGCGUCUUCAUAGGAUACCCUAAGGAAACCAUUGGGUAUACCUUCUACCUCAGAUCCGAAGGCAAGAUCUUUGUUGCCAAGAACGGGUCCUUUCUGGAGAAAGAGUUUCUCUCGAAAGAAGUGAGUGGGAGGAAAGUGGAACUUGAUGAGGUGAUAGUCACCCCUUCCGAACCGGAAAGUAGCGCAACGCGGGAAGAUGUUCCUGUGGUGCCUGCACCGACUGGGGAGGAAGUUAAUGAUGAUGAUCAUGAAGCUUCAGAUCAAGUUACUGCUGAACUUUGUAGGUCCACAAGGACACGUUCCGCACCAGAUUGGUACGGCAACCCUGUCAUGGAAAUCAUGUUGUUAGACAACGGUGAACCUUCGAACUAUGAAGAAGCGAUGGCGGGCCCGGAUUCCAACAAAUGGCUUGAAGCCAUGCAAUCCGAGAUAGGAUCCAUGUAUGAAAACGAAGUAUGGACUUUGACUGACUUGCCUGAUGAUCGGCGAGCCAUAGAAAAUAAAUGGAUCUUUAAGAAGAAGACAGACGCGGAUGGUAAUGUGACCAUCUAUAAGGCUCGACUUGUCACUAAGGGUUAUCGACAAGUUCAAGGGGUUGACUACGAUGAGACUUUCUCACCCGUAGCAAAGCUGAAGUCCGUCCGAAUCAUGUUAGCAAUUUCCGCAUUCUAUGAUUAUGAGAUAUGGCAAAUGGACGUCAAAACGGCAUUCCUUAACGGCUUUCUUAAGGAAGAAUUGUAUAUGAUGCAGCCGGAAGGUUUUGUCGAUCCUAAGAAUGCUAACAAGGUAUGCAAGCUCCAGCGCUCCAUCUAUGGGCUGGUGCAAGCAUCUCGGAGUUGCAACAUUCGAUUUGAUGAGAUGAUCAAAGCGUUUGGGUUUACACAGACUUAUGGAGAAGCCUGUGUUUACAAGAAAGUGAGUGGGAGCUCUGUAGCAUUUCUCUUAUUAUAUGUGGAUGACAUACUAUUGAUGGGAAAUGAUAUAGAAUUCUUGGAAAGUAUAAAGGCCUAUUUGAAUAAGUGUUUUUCAAUGAAGGACCUUGGAGAAGCUGCUUAUAUAUUAGGCAUCAAGAUCUAUAGAGAUAGAUCAAGACGCCUCAUUGGUCUUUCACAGAGUACGUACCUUGACAAGAUAUUAAAGAAGUUCAAUAUGGAUCAGUCCAAGAAGGGGUUCUUGCCUGUAUUGCAAGGUGUGCAAUUGAGCACGGCUCAAUGCCCGACCACGGCAGAAGAUAGAGAAAAGAUGAGUGUCAUCCCCUAUGCCUCGGCCAUAGGGUCUAUUAUGUAUGCCAUGCUGUGUACCAGACCUGAUGUAAACCUUGCUGUAAGUUUGGUAGGAAGGUACCAAAGUAAUCCCGGCAUGGAACACUAGACAGCGGUCAAGAAUAUCCUGAAGUACCUGAAGAGGACUAAGGAUAUGUUUCUCGUUUAUGGAGGUGACGAAGAGCUCGUCGUAAAGGGUUACGUCGAUGCUAGCUUCGACACAGAUCUGGAUGACUCUAAGUCACAAACCGGAUACGUGUAUAUUUUGAAUGGAGGGGCAGUAAGCUAGCGCAGUUGCAAGCAAAGCGUCGUGGCGGGAUCUACAUGUGAAGCGGAGUACAUGGCGGCCUCAGAGGCAGCGCAAGAAGCAAUCUGGAUGGAGUUCAUUACCGACCUAGGGGUGAUUCCCAAUGCGUCGGGCCCGAUGACUCUCUUCUAUGACAACACUGGAGCUAUUGCCCUUGCCAAGGAGCCCAGGUUUCACAGGAAGACCAGGCAUAUCAAGCGUCGCUUCAACUCCAUUCGUGAAAGUGUUCAAAAUGGAGACAUAGAUAUUUGUAAAGUAAAUACGGACCUGAAUGUAGCAGAUCCGUUGACUAAACCUCUCCCUAGAGCAAAACAUGAUCAACACCAGAACUCUAUGGGUGUUCGAUUCAUCACAAUGUAACUAGAUUAUUGACUCUAAUGCAAGUGGGAGACUGUUGGAAAUAUGCCCUAGAGGCAAUAAUAAAAUGGUUAUUAUUAUAUUUCCUUGUUCAUGAUAAUUGUCUAUUGUUCAUGCUAUAAUUGUGUUAUCCGGAAAUCGUAAUACAUGUGUGAAUACAUAGACCACAACAUGUCCCUAGUGAGCCUCUAGUUGACUAGCUCGUUGAUCAAAAGAUAGUCAUGGUUUCCUGACUAUGGACAUUGGAUGUCAUUGAUAACGGGAUCACAUCAUUAGGAGAAUGAUGUGAUGGACAAGACCCAAUCCUAAGCAUAGCACAAAGAUCGUGUAGUUCGUUUGCUAGAGCUUUUCCAAUGUCAAGUAUCAUUUCCUUAGACCAUGAGAUCGUGUAACUCCCGGAUGCCAUAGGAGUGCUUUGGGUGUACCAAACGUCACAACGUAACUGGGUGACUAUAAAGGUACACUAUAGGUAUCUCUGAAAGUGUCUGUUGGGUUGACACGGAUCGAGAUUGGGAUUUGUCACUCCGUAUGACGGAGAGGUAUCUCUGGGCCCACUCGGUAAUGCAUCAUCAUAAUGAGCUCAAUGUGACUAAGGGGUUAGCCACGGGAUCAUGCGUUACGGUAAGAAUAAAGUGACUUGCCGGUAACGAGAUUGAACAAGGUAUUGGGAUACCGACGAUCGAAUCUCGGGCAAGUAACGUACCGCUUGACAAAGGGAAUUGUAUACGGGAUUGAUUGAAUCCUCGACAUCGUGGUUCAUCCGAUGAGAUCGAGGAACAUGUGGGAGCCAACAUGGGUAUCCAGAUCCCGCUGUUGGUUAUUGACCGGAGAGUCGUCUCGGUCAUGUCUGCAUGUCUCCCGAACCCGUAGGGUCUACACACUUAAGGUUCGGUGACGCUAGGGUUGUAGAGAUAUUAGUAUGCGGUAACCCGAAAGUUGGUCGGAGUCCCGGAUGAGAUCCCGGACAUCACGAGGAGUUCCGGAAUGGUUUGUAGGUGAAGAAUUAUAUAUAGGAAGUCCAGUUUCGGCCACCGGGAAAGUUUUGGGGGUUACCGGUAUUGUAUCGGGACCACCGGAAGGGUCCCGGGGGUCCACCGGGUGGGGCCACCUAUCCCGGAGGUCCCCAUGGGCUGAAGUGGGAGGGGAACCAGCCCCUGGUGGGCUGGUGCGCCCCCUCUUGGGCCUCCCCCCGCGCCUAGGGUUGGGAACCCUAGGGGUGGGGGCGCCCCCCACUAGGCUUGGGGGGAAGCCACCCCUUGGCCGCCGCCCCCCUUGGAGAUUGCAUCUCCCAGGGCCGGUGCCCCCCAGGGGCCCUAUAUAUAGUGGGGGGAGGGAGGGCAGCCACACCACAGCCCCUGGCGCCUCCCUCUCCCUCCCGUGACACCUCUCCCUCUCGCUGAGCUUGGCGAAGCCCUGCCGAGAUCCCCGCUACUUCCACCACCACGCCGUCGUGCUGCUGGAUCUCAAUCAACCUCUCCUUCCCCCUUGCUGGAUCAAGAAGGAGGAGACGUCGCUGCUCCGUACGUGUGUUGAACGCAGAGGUGCCGUCCGUUCGACGCUCGGUCAUCGGUGAUUUGGAUCACGACGAGUACGACUCCAUCAACCCCGUUCACUUGAACGCUUCAGCUCGCGAUCUACAAGGGUAUGUAGAUGCACUCCUCUCUCUCGUUGCUAGAUGACUCCAUAGAUUGAUCUUGGUGAUGCGUAGAAAAUUUUAAAUUUCUGCUACGAUCCCCAACAUCAUAUAGUAGAUAUGAUCAACAUAGUGAUGUUCACCAUUGAAAGCUACUCCAUCUCACGUGAUGAUCGAACAUGGUUUAGUUGAUAUGGAUCACGUGAUCAUUUAGAUGACUAGAGUGAUGUCUAUCUAAGUGGGAGUUCUUAAGUAAUAUGAUUAAAUUGAAAUUUAAUUUAUCAUGAACUUAGUCUUGAUAGUAUUUGCAAAUUAUGUUGUAGAUCAAUAGCUCGCGAUGUAGCUCCCCGUUUAUUUUUUUCUAUGUUCCUAGAGAAAAAUAAUUUGAAAGAUGAUAGUAGUAAUGAUGCAGACUUGGUUCGUGAUCUGAGGAUUAUCCUCAUUGCUGCACAAAGAAGAAUUAUGUUCUUGAUGCACCGCUAGGUGACAGGCCGAUUGCAGGAGCAGAUGCAGACAUUAUGAAUGUUUGGCAAGCUCGAUAUGAUGACUACUUGAUAGUUUAGUGCACCAUGCUUUACGGCUUAGAAUCGGGGCUUCAAAGACGUUUUGAACACCACGGAGCAUAUGAGAUGUUCCAAGAGUUGAAAUUAGUAUUUCAGACUCAUGCCCAUGUCGAAAGGUAUGAGACCUUUGACAAGUACUUUGCCUACAAGAUGGAGGAGAAUAGCUCAACCAGUGAGCAUGUGCUCAGAUUGUCUGGGUACUCCAAUUGCUUGAAUCAAGUGGGAGUUAAUCUUCCAGAUAAGAUAGUAAUUGACAAAGUUCUCUAGUCACUAUCUCCAAGUUACUAGAACUUCGUGAUGAACUAUAAUAUGUAAGGGAUGACGAAAGUAAUUCCCAAGCUCUUCGCGAGCUGAAAUCAACGAAGGUAGAAAUCAAGAAAGAGCAUCAAGUGUUGAUGGUUAACAAGACCACUAGUUUCAAGAAAAGUGCAAAGGGAUAGAAGGGGAACUUCAAGAAGAAUGGCAAGCAAGUUGCUACUCAUGUGAAGAAGCCCAAGUCUGGACCUAAGCCUGAGACUGAGUGCUUCUACUGCAAUGGAAAUGGUCACUGGAAGUGGAACUGCCCUAGAUACUUGGCGGAUAAGAAGGAUGGCAAAGUGAACAAUGGUAUAUUUGAUAUACAUGUUAUUGACGUGUACUUUACUAGUGUUUAUAGCAAACCCCUCAGUAUUUGAUGCUGGUUCAGUUGCUAAGAUUAGUAACUCGAAACGGGAAUUACAGAAUGAAUAGAGACUAGUUAAGGGUGAAGUGACGAUGUGUGUUGGAAAUGGUUCCAAGAUUGAUAUGAUCAUCAUCGCACACUCCCUAUACUUUCGGGAUUAGGGUUGAACCUAAAUAAAUGUUAUUUGGUGUUUGCGUUGAGCAUGAAUAUGAUUUGAUCAUGUUUAUUGCAAUACGAUUAUUCAUUUAAAGUCAGAGAAUAAUUGUUGUUCUGUUUACAUGAAUGAAACCUUCGAUGGUCAUACAUCCAAUGAAAAUAGUUUGUUGGAUCUCGACCAUAGUGAUACACAUAUUCAUAAUAUUAGAGCCAAAAGAUACAAAGUUAAUAAUGAUAGUGCAACUUAUUUGUGGCACUGCCGUUUAGGUCUUAUUGGUGUAAAGCGCAUGAAGAAACUCCAUGCUGAUGGGCUUUUGGAAUCACUUGAUUAUGGAUCAUUUGAUGCUUGCAAACCAUGCCUCAUGGGCAAGAUGACUAAGGCUCCAUUCUCUGGAACAAUGGAGCGAGCAACUGAAUUGUUGAAAAUAAUACAUAAUGAUGUAUGCGGUCCGAUAAGUGUUGAGGCUCGCGGCGGGUAUCGUUAAUGUCUAACCUUCACAGAUGAUUUGAGCAGAUAUGGGUAUAUCUACUUGAUGAAACACAAGUCUAAAACAUUUCAAAAGUUCAAAGAAUUUCAGAGUAAAGUGGAGAAUCAUCGUAACAAGAAAAUAAAGUUUUCUGCGAUUUGAUCGCACAGACGAAUAUUUGAGUUACGAGUUUGGCCUUCAAUUAAAACAAUGUGCAAUAGUUUCACAAACUCAUGCCACCCAGAACACCACAGCGUAAUGGUGUGUCCGAACGUCAUAACCGUACUUUAUUGGAUAUAGUGCAAUCUAUGAUGUCUCUUACCAAUUUACCACUAUCAUUUUUGGGGUUAUGCAUUAGAGACAGCUACAUUCACGUUAAAUAGGGCACCAUCUAAAUCCGUUGAGAUGACACCGUAUGAACUAUGGUCUGGCAAGAAACCUAAGCUGUCAUUUCUUAAAGUUUGGGGUUGCGAUGCUUAUGUGAAAAAGUUUCAACCUGAUAAGCUCGAACCCAAAUCGGAGAAAUGCGUCUUCAUAGGAUACCCAAAGGAAACUGUUGGGUACACCUUCUAUCAUAGAUCCGAAGGCAAGAUAUUCAUUGCUAAGAAUGGAUCCUUUCUAUAGAAGGAGUUUCUCUCGAAAGAAGUGAGUGGGAGGAAAGUAGAACUUGAUGAGGUAAUUGUACCUUCUCCCGAAUUGGAAAGCAGUUCAUCACAGAAAUCAGUUCCAGUGAGUCCUACACCAAUUAAUGAGGAAGCUAAUGAUGAUGAUCAUGAAACUUCAGAUCAAGUUAUAUCGAACCUCGUAGGUCAACCAGAGUAUGGUCCACACCAGAGUGGUACGGUAAUCCUGUUCUGGAAGUCAUGUUAGUGGACCAUGAUGAACCUACGAACUAUGAGGAAGCGAUGAUGAGCCCAGAUUCCGCGAAAUGGCUUGAGGCCAUAAAAUCUGAGAUAGGAUCCAUGUAUGAGAACAAAGUGUGGACUUUGGUUGACUUGCCCGAUGAUCGGCAAGCCAUGGAGAAUAAAUGGAUCUUCAAGAGGAAGACGGACGCUGAUAGUAGUGUUACUAUCUACAAAGCUCGAAUUGUCGCAAAAGAUUUUUGACAAGUUCAAGAUGUUGACUACAAUGAGAUUUUCUCACUCGUAGCGAUGCUUAAGUCUGUCUGAAUCAUGUUAGCAAUUGCCACAUUUUACGAAAUCUGGCAAAUGGAUGUCGAAACUGCAUUCUUAAUGGAUUUCUUAAAGAAGAGUAGUAUAUGAUGCAACAAGAAGGUUUUGUCAAUCCUAAAUAUGCUAACAAAGUGUGCAAAGCUCCAGCGAUCCAUCUAUGGACUGGUGCAAGCAUCUCGGAGUUGGAAUAUACGCUUUGAUGAGUUGAUCAAAUCAUAUAGUUUUAUACAGACUUGCGGAGAAGCCUGUAUUUACAAGAAAGUGAGUGGGAGCACUACAGCCUUUCUGAUAAGUAUAUGUGAGUGACAUAUUGUUGAUCGGAAAUGAUAUAGAAUUUUCUGGAAAGCAUAAAGGAGUGUUUGAAAGGAGUUUUUCAAAGAAAGACCUCGAUGAAGCUACUUACAUAUUGAGCAUCAAGAUCUAUAGAGAUAGAUCAAAAGACUUGAUAAGUUUUUUCAAUGAGUACAUACCUUGACAAGAUUUUGAUAUAGUUCAAAAUGAAACAGUCAAAGAAGGAGUUCUUGUCUGUAUUGCAAGGUGUGAAACUGAGUAAAGACUCAAAACCCGACCACGGCAGAAAAUAGAAAGAGAAUGAAAGUCAUUCCCAAUGCCUCAGCCAUAGGUUCUAUAAAGUAUGCCAUGCUAUGUACCAGACCUAUUGUAUACCCUGCCCUGUGUUUGGCAAGGGAGUACAAUAGUGAUCUAGGAGUAGAUCACUAGACAUUGGUCAAAAUUAUCCUUAGAGGACUAAGGAAAUAUUUCUCGGUUAUGGAGGUGAUAAAGAGUUCGUCGUAAAGAGUUACGUCGAUGCAAGCUUUGACACCGAUCUGGAUGACUCUGAGUCUCGAUCUAGAUACAUAUUGAAAGUGGGAGCAUUUAGCUAGAGUAGCUCCGUGCAGAGUAUUGUAGACACAGAAAUUUGCAAAAUACAUACGGAUUUGAAUGUUGCAGGCCCGUAGACUAAAAAUUUCUCUCACAGGCAAAACAUGAUCAUACCUUAUUACUCUUGGGUGUUAAUCACAUAGCGAUGUGAACUAGAUUAUUGACUCUAGUAAACCUUUUGAGUGUUGGUCAAAUGGCGAUGUGAACUAUAGGUGUUAAUCACAUAAAGAUGUGAACUAUUGGUGUUAAAUCAGAUGGCGAUGUGAACUAGAUUAUUGACUCUAGUGCAAGUGGGAGACUGAAGGAAAUAUGCCCUAGAGGCAAUAAUAAAGUUAUUAUUUAUAUUUCCUUAUAUCAUGAUAAACGCUUAUUAUUCAUGCUAGAAUUGUAUUAACCGGAAACUUAGUACAUAGCUGAAUACAUAGACAAACAGAGUGUCCCUAGUAUGCCUCUACUUGACUAGCUCGUUAAUCAAAGAUGGUUAAGUUUCCUAGCCAUAGACAUGUGUUGUCAUUUGAUGAACGGGAUCACAUCAUUAGGAGAAUGAUGUGAUGAACAAGACCCAUCUGUUAGCUUAGCAUUAUGAUUGUUAAGUUUUAUUGCUAUUGCUUUCUUCAUGACAUACAUAUUCCUCUAACUAUGAGAUUGUGCAACUCCCGAAUACCAGAGGAACACCUUGUGUGCUAUCAAACGUCACAACGUAACUGGGUGAUUAUAAAGAUGCUCUACAGAUGUCUCCGAAGGUGUUUGUUGGGUUGGCAUAGAUGAAGAUUAGGAUUUGUCACUCCGUGUAUCGGAGAGGUAUCUCUGGCCCUCUCGGUAAUGCACAUCAUAAUAAGCCUUGCAAGCAAUGUGACUAAUGAGUUAGUUACGGGAUGAUGUAUUACGGAACGACUAAAGAGACUUGUCAGUAACGAGAUUGAACUAGGUAUGAAGAUACCGACGAUCGAAUCUCGGGCAAGUAACAUAUCGGUGACAAAGGAAAUAACGUAUGUUGUCAUAACGGUUCGACCGAUAAAGAUCUUCGUAGAAUAUGUAGGAGCCAAUAUGGGCAUCCAGGUUCCGCUAUUGGUUAUUGACCAGAGAGGUGUCUCGGUCAUGUCUACAUAGUUCUCGAACCCGUAGGGUCCGCACGCUUAACGUUCGUUGACGAUAUAGUAUUAUAUGAGUUAUGUAUGUUGGUGACCGAAUGUUGUUCGGAGUCCCGGAUGAGAUCACAGACAUGACGAGGAGCUCCGGAAUGGUCCGGAGGUAAAGAUUGAUAUAUAGGAUGAUAUGGUUCGGCCAAGGGGUGAAGCCCACGAGGCUUUAGGUCGGUGCAAAAGGAGUUUUGCAGAGGCCAGGGGGCCAAACGCCGGAGACCCUGGCGUCUGGCCCUGGGCCAGACGACGAGGCCCAUGGUGUCUAGGCCAGAUGCCAAGGAUUGUGGCGUUUGGUCCUGGAGUCCGAGUGGGACUCUUGCCUUUCAGGCAAAACCGACUUUGAGGAGGCUUUUGAUCCAAGUUUCGACCCUAGGGCUCAACAUAUAAAUAGAGGGGUAGGGCUAGCACCAAAGACACAUCAAGAAACACCAAGCCGUGUGCCGGCAACCCCGUCCCCUCUAGUUUAUCCUCCGUCAUAGUUUUCGUAGUGCUUAGGCGAAGCCCUGCGGAGAUUGUUCUUCACCAACACCGUCACCACGCCAUCGUGCUGCCGGAACUCAUCUACUACUUCGCCCCUCUUGCUGGAUCAAGAAGGCGAGGACGCCAUCGAGAUGAACGUGUGCUGAACGUGGAGGUGCCGUACGUUCGGUACUUGACCGGGACGGAUCGUGAAGGUGUACAACUACAUCAACCGCGUUGAUAAAUGCUUCCUCUUUCGGUCUAUGAGGGUACAUAGACACACUCUCCCCUCUCGUUGCUAUGCAUCUCCUAGAUAGAUCUUGCGUGAUCGUAGGAAUUUUUUUGAAAUACUGUGUUCCCCAACAGAUAGGUCAACAGUGCAUUGGCUCCAACUUUUGCAUACAACCUCAGAAUGAGAUGAUUUUAAUAUCAAAUCAAUCCCUUCGACGAGACAAAGACAAUCGUAUAUAAACUUUUCUCAUAUGAGGCUGUCUUGGAGGUCUAAUCGACCGAAUAGUACUCUACAUACAAAAUAUAGUACUUCGAGCACAACUUCGGCCCUUAAGAUGAGAUCGGGUGGCGAUGGCCUAAACUUCAAAGAUGUUCACGUCAACAAUACACAACUUUUUUAUGUAGAUCCCUCCUUCAUUUGAGGCCAUCUUAAUUAAGUUCUUGAUCGUGCCAAAAUCUGGUGUCAACACAUGCCCCCCUGUUUUUCGGAAAACUUGUGUGCCGAAAAAUAACUUGCACGAAGUUUGUUCUAAGCGCGAUGUCAACACUCCAUCGGCCAUUUUUUACGAGCUUAGGACGAUAAGUAUAUACCGGCCAUUUAGAUUAGCAACUAAAGUGAAGCUAAUCGAACAUAUGAUGAUUUGGUAAUACCCUUUCAUGAUGUAAGAAAUUAUAUUGCAUCCAUGGAUUAAAAUAAGCCCAUUGAGGGUAACCAAUCAUACCUAAUGAUGAAUUCCAUGGCAUAGGCAUCAAUGUCAUAGUUGAAGAAUAUGGAUAAUGUGUGGACCGAAGAUGUUAAAACCUUCGGCUUGGUCCUUCAUAGUUUUCACUCUUUUCCUUCUUCACCUUUGCCGCACUUCUUGUAAUGGAAGCUUGCACAUAAUUCUUAUUUUGAGUACUUCUUUUGGGAACCCAUGCCAUGUUCCUUUCUUCAAGUUCUUGUGCACUAAGUUUUUGUAAUUUGUUCUUUUGCCAAUAUGAUAAGCCGAGUGAGCACCUCGGCUGUGAUUUUGUUUGAAGCAAUGGCAAUUCUUGUUUUACCUUGUGCACUCUCAACUUCUUCUAUUCGGAUUUUGCACUUCAUUGACUUGCCUCAUUGCCUUUAGUAGCCAAUGUCAACACUUUAAUUGGCUCUUUUUCAUUUGAUAUAAAGACUGAAGUAGCAAUCUUACGACCAUCUUUUUUAACACGGUAAACUUGCUUGACCACCUCUUUCUUGUUCCUUGAGCUCCGGACCGAUUCCCUAUGAUUGAAACGGUCUUUGACAUGUGAUUGUUCAAAUGUUAAUCUUUUUGGAGCUGCAUAAUGUUUCCGAGAUGGUCUAAAAUAAGAUGAAGAUUGCGCCCUUGGAUCAUACCUGUCCCAUGAUGGAUAUGGAUUUACAUGAUCAUAUGAAGGUAUCCAUGGCAUUGGCAUUGGCGGCACAAAAUAUGGAUAUGAAUAUACUGCAUUAGAAUUCUCAUUUUGCCAAUACUGAUCCUCGGGUUUGUGCCUAGAGGGUGGUCUUGAUGCUCUUGAAUUACCUGGCCGAUAAGCACUGUUCCCGUCACUUAUCUUCUGAUAUUUUUCCAAUAGUUGCGCGAAAGUGACUUUCGGCUAUUUACCUUUGUGCUUACCUCGGCCUUUGCUUUCUUUGGUUGUGCUUGCACCGAUCUUUGGAUUUUCUUAUUGCCCCCAGUACUUGGCAUUUUUUGUGCAACCUUGAUGGAAUUCCCGCCUUCAAGAAUAUUUGCAUUCUUCUCUUGAAGAACUUCUUUAAUUGAAAACUUGAUCCCAUCAUCCACAGUUUUUACCUUCUCAUCUUUAAAUGGAUCGACUUGAAGCAGCCGAUGCAAAAAAUCGUUUGCCAUCAGGACCAAUCAGAAUAAACUGGUCAUCUCUUGGUGUCUCAACAAAUUUCAGUCGUCCUUUAUGAAUGGCCGAUUUAACUAUUGGAUGAAACAUAUUGCAAUCCUCAAAAGUAUGUUUGAACGAAUGACGCAACUUACAAUACAUUCAUCCUUGAAUUGAUGGCUUGACAUGGUGAUCAAGAAUUCUUAUGUAAUUAUUUUUCAGCAACAAAUCAAAUAUUUGAUCACACAUGCUUGAAUUGAAGGUAAAAAAUUUAUUCUCUAGCCGAUCUGCUGUGAGAACGACCUUGGACUUAAGCAAGCAAAUGGUUCAUAUUUUGCAUUACCCCAUUCGGCUAUGCAUUGUGUUUUGCACUCUAUCUCCGAUGUCUUUGAAAAGGAAUUAUACUAUCAUCGGUUUUCUCAACAGAGUAUAACCUUGGAUUUAAAUUUCUGAAGUCAAAGUAGUUAGAACAUACAUGUAUCAAUUGAGACCAUGCGUAAGCCAAGUAUGAAGCAAGCAAAGUUACCCAAUUAGAUAUGAACUUUAAAUAAAGCAAUGGGAAUUUUUUUUGGCUGCAAUAAUAAGUCACUAUCGGUCUUUAUAAGUGGCACAAUAGUUGACCGAUUUGUUCUAUAAAAAAUUAUUGCUAACAAGUAAAUUACCCUUCUUCAUUGGUCUUUCAAAAUUACAUAUGAGAAUUUUUCUUAUAGAAGCAUCAACAAUAAAGUUGCGACCAAAUCGGAAGAUAGGUAAAUCACUUUCCAGACAUACCUUUUCAAACACGUUGGGAAAGCAUGAUGGUUGCGUUAAUUGAACGAUAGGUUGUUCCUCUUUUGAAUAUCUCCCCAACACCUUGUCGUCCUGUUUUUCUAAAACAGAUCCGGCAUACGUAAUAUUUGAUUCGUUCUUUUCAAUAACCGAAUUAACUUUUUUAUUUGAAUCACCACUUUUUUUGAUAAUUCUAUGCACACCCAAUGCUUUCUCUUUUUGACAUAAUCUAGCUUGUAUUGCAGCAGAAUUAAUAGGUUUUCCCUCUUUUAUUAGUUCAUGUAGAACAACAUUGCAUUCGUCCCAAAAAGACGUAAGAUUUUUCUUAAUGACCCGAUCUGGAUAAAAUUGUCCCCCGACAAUUUUAGACUCUUUCGGUAACGAGAUGUUGCCAAAUUCUAUAAUUGUGCAGGGAAAACAUUGUAUGCUAUGAUACUAGGUGAACACACAUGUGAUCCUAUAGAAUUUUCACUUAUUUGGCUAUUAGUGUGAAGGUGCGAAGCCGAAUUAUGAAUACCUAUAGUUGCAUAUGGUGCCAAAAAAUUAGUAGCAUGAGGUGUAGUAUAUGAUGAUUGAGGGUAACUAGCUGGAUAACUAGUAGUAGCAUGGCCAAUUCCCCUAUCCACCGACAUGUUUGGAUUAACAUAUUGCAAGUUAGUUGCCGAUGAAUAAAAAGGUGAAACACUUUGUUGCAUACUAUCGGAAGUUCCUAUGUGAGGUGUUUCAACUUGAUUAACCGAACUCAUCAUGUUGUUCAUCGGCAUAUGGACUUGUGGGGUUGCCGAUGCAUGGGAGAUGGAAAACAUAUGUUGCAUGUUGCUAAAAUUAUAUGUGGUAGAAGCAUGAAGAUAUUGUUGCAUCGGCUCUUGCACAUGAUUAGAUGCAUGAUUGAUAAAGCUAGGGGUAGCCGAUACAUUAUGCUUAUUAGAUGAUCUAGCAACAACAUAUGCAUUAUUUGCAUCUGCAUGUGUGAAUCGGGUAUUCAUAUUACCUUUGUAGAUUGCAAAACCUAGAUGACGCUCUCUUCGUAGCAAGAACGGGCCGUAGACCAUUCAAAGCUUCAUUCCCCAGCGGAAUCGCCAAAAAGUUUGUUCGCACACGAACAUGUCACCGAUUACCCACGACACCGGGGUGAUGCACCGUAGCUCACGUCGAAGGAGACCCAGCCGGAAGCGCGGUACGCAAGCAAUCCGGCGGGCGCUUUUGUAGACCCAAAGCCCCACACGCCCGGGAGGGACCCAUCUGGGCAGGCGGCGGCUAUGGGCUGCCCUAGGUCGACCUGACCGCCCCUAGAGCCUCGUGGAUUCAAAGCCCUCCAUUGCUGAAGAACGACAAAGAAUGAGAAGAAAGAUGCAAGGGUGGGGGAUACAUGAACACGAAAAAGUAGUAGAUGUGUUUGUUCGAUUGUGUGUUGUUUAAUCGGCCAUCACCUCUCAUCUAUUUAUGAGGCGGCUGGACUUUCCGUACAAGAGAAGGACUCCAAAUCUCGUUCAAAUCCUUUCAAAAUUAGCCGAACUCGGAUUAGGCAUGUCUAAGAUAGUAGUUUGGUUUUUGUGUUUCAUAGGCCAAAUACGACCUCGGAUGAAGGUGCGCCCAAAAGAAGUUUAACUGCUUAGACGAGAUGAACAACUUUUGUGUUGAACGUUUUUCGAUUCGAGCCCAUCUUGAGGAUCGAAUGGCUCGCGCGACCCAUCAGACAUCGUGUCUGAUGCCCCGGGCCAGUUUUUACUCAUGAUAGGUCAGGAGUGCAUUGGCUCCAACUUUUGCAUACGACCUCGGAAUGAGACAAUUUUUAUAUCAAAAUCGAUCGUUUCGAUGGCAUGAAUACAAUCGUAUAUAAACUUUUCUCAUAUGAGGCUGUCUUGGAGGUCUAAUCAAUAGAACAGUACUCUACAUACAAAAUCUAGUACUUCGAGCACAACUUCGGCCCUUGAGAUGAGAUCGGAUGGCGGUGGAUCAAACUUCAAAGAUGUUCACGUCGACAAAAGAACUUUUUUAUGUAGAUCACUCCUUCAUUUGAGGCCAUCUUAAUUAAGUUCUUGACAGUGCCAAAAUCUGGUGUCAACGCUCUCAUCGUGGGAGGACCAAUCCUCAUCAACAUCUUCACCAGCACCAUCUCAUCUCAAACCCUAGUUCAUCUCUUGUAUUCAAUCUUUGUCUUAAAAACCUUAGAUUGGUACAUGUGGAUUGCUAUUAGUGUUGAUUACAUGUUGUGGUUGAUGCUAGUUGGUUUAUUUGGUGGAAGAUUAUAUUUUCAGAUCCUUGAUGAUAUUCAAUACCCCACUGAUCUUGAACAUGAAUAUGAUUUGUGAGUAGUUACUUUUUUUCUUGAGGACAUGGCAGAAAUCUUGUCAUAAGUAAUCAUGUGAAUUUGGUAUUCGUUUGAUAUUUUGAUGAUAUGUAUGUUGUGAUUCCCUUAGUGGUGUUAUUUGAACGUCGACUACAUGACACUUCACCAUCUUUGGGCCUAAGAGAAGCCAUUGUGGAGUAGUUAUUACAUGAUGGGUUGCUAGAAUUACAGAAGCUUAAACCCUAGUUUAUGUGCUAUUCCAUAAGGGGCUGAUUUGGAUCCAUAUGUUUCAUGCUAUGGUUAGAUUUAUCUUAAUUCUUCUUUCGUAGUUGUGGAUACUUGCGAGAGGGGGUAAUCAUAAAUGGGAGGUCUAUUCAAGUAAGAACAGCACCCAAGCACUGGUCCACCCACGUAUAAAAUUAUCAAAGUAACGAACGUGAAUCAAACAAACAUGGUGAAAGUGAGUAAAUGGAAUUCCCGUGUGUCCUCAAAAGCACUUUGCUUAUUAUAAGAGACCGUUUUGGAAUGUCCUUUGCUAAAAAGGAUUGGGCUACCUUGCUGCACUUUUGUUGUCGUUACUACUUAUUGCUCCUUACAAAUUACCUUGCUACCAAACUAUCUGUUAUCAACAAUAAUUCAGUGCCUGCAAAUAAUACCUUGCUGAAAACCGCUUGUCAUUUCCUUCUGCUCCUCAUUGGGUUUGACACUCUUAGUUAUUAAAAGGACUAAGAUUGAUCCCCUAUACUUGUGGGUCAUCAGUGCCAACACGUGUGACUUUCCUGCCAAAUGUUAGGACGUCAAGAAUAAAUGACAGGGAAGCAACUCCAAGCGCCUCCUCGACAUCUUCUACAUAUACUGCUCACUAGGUAUGUCUAGCUUUUGAGGCCCUCAUGGGCGUAGGUGCAAGUUAAGGCCCAACGUGUGGUGGCAUGAUGCUAUGCCACCACUCAAGUUCCUAGUGGUCAUUGUACCUCCACAUUGUCAUAAGUAACAACCAAUUUUUAGCCCCGGGCAAUGAGACAAGUUUUCAGUCUCAUCACAAUGCAUUCGUUAGUCCGGAUAGCUCACUGUUAUGACUUUCAAUAUGCUCGGGGUCGGAAUCUAGACUCAAGAAACAAAGAUGCCAAAGGCUGAUGCGCCCAAGCCCUCAGAAAACAUCUAGGAGAAGGCUCAUAGAGGAAGCAGUUAGAUCAUACUUCCCAGACUUUUUUCCUCUGGGUAGCAAACUCUAACCUCAAUUCACGUAUUGGUGGGGGCAUGUCGGUGAUUAAGGGUACCUACUCAGAAGGGAAUGCCCAAGGGCACAUCCGACCAAGUCACUUGAAAGAGUGACUAACGACUCCAAGUCAUGCGCCCUGCUACCCCUGAGCAUACACUUGGAGGGGAUAAGGAUUUGACGUGCUAAGUUGGGGAUCUGGCAAUUUGAGGAGAUAUACUCUGUGUAAUUCUUGGGAUCCCCUAAUCAUAUCGUAUCAAAAAACUACAAAACUAUUGACUCUCGCGCGCCUAUAUAAAGGACUAGUGAGACUGUGUUGGGGACUGUUUGUACCAAAGCUUUUGCUCAUAGCCUAUCUAAGGGUCGGCUGGUGGGCUGCCGGAGGUCGGCUUGGGCGGCCAGUGGACCACCGGUGGGUUCGAGCCGUGGCAGCGAUGCCUCGGCGGCUGGUGGUUCCUUCUGUCCGUUGCCUACUGUCCCAUCUAGGUGUGCUCCAAUCUCACCAGGCUUGGUCGUGCUAGCUAUCUAGCCGGUCACCGGUUUGUGGGCGAAGCGGGAGGUGGGGAUCCAGAUCGAGAAAAUUCCUUUGUCGAUUCCUGUAGGACACGACAACGACUCCCGUGGGUGUUGAUAUUCUUGUAGGAGAUGUCGUUUGGGUCUGCCCUACACUGCUUCUCGGAUGAAAACCCUAACUGCGGUGGGCAGAGGCAACGCUCAAGGCGUCAUGUCCUUCUUGAAGGUGUCAACGUGAGAGCUUUGUGAUGGUGGGCACCAUUCGGUUCUGUUGGCACGUGCACAUGACAUGCCCCUUUUCCUCCAGGGGAAACCCUAGAUCAGGGUCUCCCAGAUUGGAUGAUGACGGAGAUCGCGGUAUCGUUUUCCCUCCCAAUGGCAUUGUUUUGGAGCAAAGGUUCACUGGAACAGCCAACAGGUGGAGCGGUGUUGCAUCUACCGCAUUGAAGAUGGCGGGUCUCGACGGCAUGGUGAAGUGGAGUCUUGGUGUUGGACGCGGUUUAAUGGACGCGCAUAGGCUGGUGGUGUUGUCGGGCAUCGUGGUGAUGUCGAUGGCAAAUGGGUCUGGCAAGCUCUAUGAAAUGAUCUCUCCUGAAGAUGGGAUGCUAGAAGAUGGCGGCGGCAUAUCCUAGAGCGUGCGCAUGUGGUGCGUGUUGUGGGACGCCUAGACCGGUUGGUGCUCUCAGCUUGCCAGGCAGGCGGCUUCUUGAGGCCACUGGGUUAGAUGGUGACCGGUGAUGCAGUCAGGGCACAUCUUUAUAUAUACUUGUAAUUGUAGUGAUUUUUUGCCUCGAAGGUGGCUUUGGGUUGAUCUUUGUAUUUAUUUUGUCGGGCUCUGUUAAAUAACUUAAUAAAGAUGACUCAUGCAUCACUUUUAUGCAUAGACCGAGGUAAUCCUCCUUCUUUUUAAGAUAAGAGUAACACCAAUGGUGCGUAUCAAAAUAGACACACUAAACGUCUGUGGACACAUCUCCAUGGAUAAGGGAUAGGUGGUGACCAUCCAAUCAUAUUCACCGAAUGUCCGCCCCUCGGGGAGACGAGGGAGAAAAAAUGUGUUUGUGAUGGGUCCAAGGCAUUGUCCACAAUGUGUUCAGACUCCUACAAUCGGACUCUCACAAACCACCUCUACGUUUGAUACCGGUUUGUAUGAUUUUGAACAUUUUUUUGUGUCUACUAAUACGUCUCCAACGUAUCUAUAAUUUUUGAUUGUUCCAUGCUAUUUUAUUAUCUAGUUUGGGUGUUUUAUAUGCAUUAAUAUGCUAUUUAUAUAAUUUUUGGGACUAACAUAUUAACCUAGAGUGCAGUGCCAGUUUCUGUUUUUUCCUUGUUUCGAGCUUCGCAGAAAAGGAAUACUAAACGGAGUCCAAAUAGAAUAAAACCUCACGAUGAAUUUUCUUGGACCAGAAGACACCCAGGAGACUUAGAGUGCAAGUCAAAAGAGCCACGAGGUGGCGGCAAGGGUGGAGGGCGCGCCCCUACCUUGUGGGCCCCUCGGUGACUCCCUAACCUAGAUCUUCCUCCUAUAUAUUCACAUAUAUUCCAAAACCACCAGAAGCAUCCACGAAAACAUUUUUCCACCGCCGCAACCUUCUGUGCCCAUGAGAUCCCAUCUUGGGGCCUUUUCCGGCAUCCUUCCGGAGGGGGGUUCGAUCACGGAGGGCAUCUACAUCAACUCUAUUGAUCUCCCGAUGAAGCGUGAGUAGUAUACCUCAGACCUACGGGUCCAUAGCUAGUAGCUAGAUGGCUUCUUCUCUCUCUUUGAUUCUCAAUACCAUGUUCUCCUCGAUGUUCUUGGAGAUCUAUUCGAUGUAAUCUUCUUUUGUGGUGUGUUUGUCGAGAUCCGAUGAAUUGUGGAUUCAUGAUCAACUUAUCUAUGAAUAUUAUUUGAAUCUUCUCUGAAUUCUUAUAUGCAUGAUUUGGUAUCUUUGUAUUUCUCUUCGAAUUAACGGUUUGGUUUGGCCAACUAGAUUGGUUUUUCUUGCAAUGGGAGAGGUGCUUAGCUUUGGGUUCAAUCUUGCGUGAUUUCACCCAGUGACAAAGUAGGGGUAGCGAGACACGUAUUGAAUUGUUGCCAUCGAGGAUAAAAAGAUGGGGUUUUCAUCAUAUUGCUUGAGUUUAUUCCUCUACAUCAUGUCAUCUUACGUAAGGCGUUACUCCGUUCUUUAUGAACUUAAUACUCUAGAUGCAUGCUAGAUAGCGGCCGAUGUGCGGAGUAAUAGUAGUAGAUGCAGGCAGGAGUCGGUCUACUUGACACGUACGUGAUGCCUAUAUUGCAUAAUCGUUGCCUUGGAUAUCGUCAUAACUUUGCGCUUUUCUAUCAAUUGCUCGAUAGUAAUUUGUUCACCCACCGUAUUAUUUGCCUUCAUGAGAGAAGCCUCUAGUGAAACGUAUGGCCCCCGGGUCUAUUUUCCAUCACAUUAGUUUCCGACCUACUAUUUUGCAAUCUUUUAUUUUUAGAUCUAUAAACCAAAAAACCCAAAUAUAUUUUAUCUCUUGUUUAGUUUUAUCUAUCUCUAUCAGAUCUCACCUUUGCAAGUGACCGUGAAGGGAUUGACAACCCCUUUAUCGCGUUGGGUGCAAGUGUUUGAUUGUUUGUGCAGGUACAUAUAUUGGGGACUUGCGCGUUUCUCCUACUGGAUUGAUACCUUGGUUCUUAGCUGAGGGUAAUACUUAUCUCUACUGUGCUGCAUCACCCUUUCCUCUUCAAGGGAAAAACCAACGCCAGCUCAAGAAGUAGCAGGAAGAAUAUCUGGCGCCGUUGCCGGGGAGAUCUACGUCAAGCCUACCAAGUACCCAUCAUAAAACUCUCAUCCAAGGUUGGAAAAAGCGGUAGCUGUAAGCGAGGCAGUUGGCCUUUGCCUAGUGCCUAGGCGGUGCUUAAGCACCCUAGGCGCGGCCUAGGCGGUAAUAUAGUUUUACUAUCAGGAUGUAUUGCGAGUAUUAUAUCUGUGUAGAUAUUUAUUUAGGGCAAAUAAAUAAGUUAAUUUCGAGCUACUCCCAUUAGAAUAUGACCCGUUUGGAAUACCAGUGCAAUAUGGCAUGAUUCUUCACUUGGGUAGACAAUUCCUUGCUUGCCCUGCCUAGACUUCCAUUUAUGCCCUAGGCGAGGCGUUUGGCCAUCACCUAGCACCUAGGCGUGCCUAAGCGCCUCCUAGGCACUGCCUUUUCCAACAGAGCUCUCAUCUCUUGCAUUACAUUAUUCUCCAUUUGCCUCUUGUUUUCCUCUUCCCCCACUUCUAAAAUGAUUUUCAAAAAGAUUUGCCUUUUUAUUUUCCCUUCUUCCAUUUGUCUUUUCAUUUGCCUUUAUGUCUUACUUGGUUUGUUUGCUCGUACGCUUGGUAUUGUGUGUUUAUUGAAAAUCAGAAACCAAAAAGUUUAUGGAUCCUCAUCCACUUGCCAAUCUUUUUAAGAGAUCCAACUAUGAUGAACCAAUUGCUAGUGAGUUGAGUGCACUAGAUUGUCUUUACGAAGUUUUGCUUGAGAUUCGUGAAUCUGAAAAUUGUGAUGAAGUGUUAAGAAGAAAUUUAUGAAGUGAUACAUGAUAGCUCCUUCAAUGAAAAGCAUGAUUGCAAUGAUGUUAUUAUGAAUUCUACGAAUGUCAGUUGUGCUAAGAAUAUGCAAAACCCUAAUCUUGGGGAUGCUAAUUUUGCUAUGUCUACUACUUGUUGCAAUGAUCAUGAUUGGGGUGAUUCUUCUUAUGAUCUUGAAAUUUUAUUUAAGCCCCAUGAUGAAUAUGAGAUUGAUAAUAAUGUUUGCAAUAAUAUUGAAAGUGGGUUUGGAAGAGUGUCAACUUUAGAUCCCACAUAUUUGGAGAAUGUUCAAUCUUAUGAUUUUUUUUAUAAAAGUGGGUUUGGAGAGGUCAUGACUUUAGUUAAUGUUAAUCCCACUAUUUUGGAAGAGUGUCAACUUAGCAUGCAUGUGGAUCCUGUUGAGAAUAUGUUAUGUGAUAGCUAUAUCAUUGAAUUUGCUUAUGAUCCUACAUGUAAUUAUUAUGAGAGAGGAAAAUAUGGUUGUAGAAAUUUUCAUGUUACUAAAUUACCUCUCUUCGUGUUGAGAUUGCUAUCGUCUCUUUCUUCUUCCUUGCAUAUGCUAGUUUUUGCUUGCCUUGAUAAUUUGUUUGCUUAUAAAAUGCCUAUGCAUAGGAAGUAUGUUAGACAUAGAUGUGUUUGUCACGUGUUUUAUGAUGCUCUCUUUGUGCUUCAAUUCUUCUCUUUUAUGUGAGCAUCAUUGAAAUUAUCAAUGUCUAGCUAAAAGGCUUUAAAGGAAAGCGCUUGUUGGGAGAUAACCCAAUAUUUUUCCUUAUUGUUUUGCAAUAAAUAAUUCAUCUAGACUCUGGUUAGAUGUGUUUAUGUGUUUUAAUUAGUGUUUGUGCCAAGUAAGACCUUUGGGAUGGCUUACAGUGAUAGUUGAUUUGAUCUUGCUGAAAAACAGAAAAUUUUGCGCCCAGUACAAUAAUUUUAAUAAUUCAUAGAAGAGUGAUUUUGAUGUGAAUUUUUUACACAAUAUUGACAUACAAAUUUCCCAGGUUUUCCUAAUGUUUCAGAAUUUUUGGAGUUACAGAAAUAUUCGAAUUUUCAGAUUGCUACAGACUGUUCUGUUUUUGACAGAUUCUGUUUGAUAUGUGUUGUUUGCUUAUUUUUAUGAAUCUAUGGGUAGUAUCGGGGGGUAUGAACCAUGGAGAAGUUGGAAUACAGUAGAUAUUACACCAAUAUAACUAAAUAAUGAGUUCACAACAGUACCAUAAAGUGGUGAUUUACUUUCUUAUACUAAUGGAUCUCAUGAGUUUUCUGUUGAGUUUUGUGUUGUGAAGUUUCCAAGUUUUGGGUAAAGAUUUGAUGGACUAUGGAAUAAGGAGUGGAAAGAGCCUAAGCUUGGGGAUGCCCAAGGCACCCCAAGGUAAUAUUCAAGGACAAUCAAGAGCCUAAGCUUGGGGAUGCCCCGGAAGGCAUCCCCUCUUUCGUCUUCGUCUAUCGGUAACUUUAGUUGAGGCUAUAUUUUUAUUCACCACAUGAUAUGUGUUUUACUUGGAGCGUCUUGUAUGAUACGAGUCUUUGCUUUUUAGUUUGCCACAAUCAUCCUUGCUGUACACACCUUUUGAGAGGGACACCCAUGAAUCAUGAUUUAUUAGAAUACUCUAUGUGCUUCACUUAUAUCUUUUGAGCUAGGCAAUUUUGCUCUAGUGUUUCACUUAUAUCUUUUUAGAGCACGACGGUGGCUUCAUUUUAUAGAAAUUGUUUAACUCUCAUGCUUCACUUAGAUUAUUUUGAGAGUCUCUUUAAACAGCAUGGUAAUUUUCUUAUGUUAUGAAUUUAGUCCUAAUAUGAUAGGCAUCCAAGAGGGAUAUAAUAAAAACUUUCAUAUAAAGUGAAUUGAAUACUAUGAGAAGUUUGAUUCCUUAUGAUUGUCUUGAGAUAUGAGGAUGGUGAUAUUAGAGUCAUGCUAGUGAGUAAUUGUGGAUUGUAGAAAUACUUGUGUCGAGGUUUGUGAUUCCUGUAGCAUGCACGUAUGGUGAACCGUUAUGUAACGAAGUUGGAGCAUGAUUUAUUUACUGAUUGUCUUCCUUAUGAGUGGCGGUCGGGGGCGAGCGAUGGUCUUUUCCUACCAAUCUAUCCCCCUGGGAGCAUGCGCGUAGUACUUUGUUUCGAUGACUAAUAGAUUUUUGCAAUAAGUAUGUGAGUUCUUUAUGAAUAAUAUUGAGUGCAUGGAUUAUACGCACUCACACCCUUCCACCAUUGCUAGCCUCUCUAGUACCGCGUAACAUUCGCCGGUGCCAUACACCGACCAUAUACCUUCCUCAAAACAGCCACCAUACCUACCUAUUAUGGCAUUUCCAUAGCCAUUCCAAGAUAUAUUGCCAUGCAACUUCCGCCGUUCCGUUUAUUAUGACACGCUUCAUCAUUGUCAUAUUGCUUUGCAUGAUCAUGUAGUUAACAUAGUAUUUUUGGCAAAGCCACCGUUCAUACAUGUCACUCUUGAGUCAUUGCACAUCCCAGUACACCGCUGGAGGCAUUUAUAUAGAGACAUAUUUUGUUCUAAGUAUCGAGUUGUAAUUCUUGAGUUGUAAGUAAAUAAAUGUGUGAUGAUCUUCAUUAUUAGAGCAUUGCCCCAUGUGAGGAAAAAUAAAAAAGGCCAAAGAAGCCAAUUAAAAAAAGAGAGAAAAGAGAGAAGGGGCCAUGUUACUAUCCUUUUUCCACACUUGUGCUUCAAAGUAGCACCAUGAUCUUCAUGAUAGAGAGUCUCCUAUGUUGUCACUUUCAUAUACUAGUGGGAAUUUUCCAUUAUAGAACUUGGCUUGUAUAUUCCAACGUUGGGCUUCCUCAAAUUGCCCUAGGUCUUCAUGAGCAAGCAAGUUGGAUGCACACCCACUUAGUUUCUUUUUUGAGAUUUCAUAAACUUAUAGCUCUAGUGCAUCUGUUGCAUGGCAAUCCCUACUCACUCACAUUGAUAUCUAUUUAUGGUCAUCUCCAUAGCCCGUUGAUACGCCUAGUUGAUGUGUGACUAUCUCCUUCUUUUUGUCUUCUCCGCAACCACCAUAUUCUAUUCCACCUAUAGUGCUAUGUCCAUGGCUCACACUCAUGUAUUGCGUGAAAGUUGAAAAGGUUUGAGAACAUCAAAAGUAUGAAACAAUUGCUUGGCUUGUCAUCGGGGUUGUGGAUGAUUUGAAUAUUUCCUAUGAUGAAGAUGGAGCAUAGCCAGAUAUAUGAUUUUAUAGGGAUAACUUUCUUUGGCCAUGUUAUUUUUAGAAGACAUGAUUGCUUUAUUAGUAUGCUUGAAGUGUUAUCAUUUUUAUGUCAAUAUUAAAAUUUUGUUUUGAAUCUCAUGGAUAUGAAAAUUCAUGCCACAAUAAAGAAAAUUACAUAGAUAAAUAUGUUAGGUAGCAUUCCACAUCAAAAAUUCUAUUUUUAUCAUUUAGCUACUCGAGGACGAGAAGGAAUUAAGCUUGGGGAUGCUUGAUACGUCUCCAACGUAUCUAUAAUUUUUGAUUGUUCCAUGCUAUUAUAUUAUCUGUUUUGGAUGUUUUAUAUGCAUUAAUAUGCUAUUUUAUAUUAUUUUUGGGACUAACCUAUUAACCUAGAGCCCAGUGCCAGUUUCUGUUUUUCCUUGUUUUUGAGCUCCGCGGAAAAGGAAUACUAAACGGAGUCCAAAUGGAAUAAAACUUCACUAUGAUUUUUCUUGGACCAGAAGACACCCAGGAGACUUGGAGUGCAAAUCAGAAGAGCCAGGAGGCGGCGACAAGGGUGGAGGGUAAUAACCCACAAGUAUAGGGGAUCGCAACAGUUUUUGAGGGUAUAGUAUUCAACCCAAAUUUAUAGAUUCGACACAAGGGGAGCCAAAGAAUAUUUGAAGGUAUUAGCAGCUGAGUUGUCAAUUCAACCACACCUGGAGAUUAAUUAUCUGCAGCAAGUAAUCAGUAGCAAAGUAGUACUAGUAGCAACGGUAACAGUAACAGUGAUAGCAGUAUUUUGUAGCAAUUGUAAUAGUGAUGGUAACAGUAGUAACUUAGCAAGAACAAUAUAAGAUAAAUUCGUAGUCAUUGGAUCGGUGACUUGUUGGAUGAUAUUCAUCAUGAGACAGUUAUAACCUAGGGCAAUACGGCACUAGCUCCACUUCGUCAAUAUAAUCUAGGCAUGUAUUCCGUAAAUAGUCAUACGUGCUUAUGGAAAGAACUUGCAUGACAUCUUUUGUCCUACCCUCCCGUGGCAGCGUGGUCCAUAUUGGAAACUAAGGGAUAUUAAGGCCUCCUUUUAAUAGAGAACCGGAACAAAGCAUUAACACAUAGUUAAUAGACGAACUCCUCAAACUACGGUCAUCAUCGGGAGUGGUCCCGACUAUUGUCACUCCGGGGUUGCCGGAUCAUAACACGUAGUAGGUGACUAUAACUUGCAAGAUCGGAUCUAGAACAUGGAUAAAAUUGUGAUAACAUAAACAGUUCAGAUCUGAGUUCAUGGCACCCGGGCCCAAAGUGACAAGCAUUAAGCAUAGCAAAGUCAUAGCAACAUCAAUCUAGGAACAUAAUGGAUACUACGGAUGAAGCCCUAACAAAACUAACUCGAUUACAUGAUGAAUCUCAUCCAACUCCUCACCGACCAGCGAGCCUACGAAGGAAUUACUCACUCCCGGUGGGGAGCAUCAUGGAAUUGGCGAUGGAGAAGGGUUGGUGAUGACGAAGAACGAAGAUCCCCCUCUUCGGAGCCCCAAACGGACUCCAGAUCUAGCCUCUCGAUAAAGAACAGGAGGUGACGGCGGCUCCGUCUCGUGGAUUGCGAUAAUUCUUUCUCCCUGAUUUUUUCUGGAAAAAUAGGAUUUUAUAGCGUCGGUUUCAGGGUCUGCGGGGACAUCAGGUGGGGACAACCCACCUGGGUGCGCAAGGAGAGGGGGCACGCCUUGGUGGGUUGUGCCCACCCAGGGCCCCUCUCCGGUAGGUCUUGGCUCCAGAAAUUCUGAUUUAUUAUAGAAAAAUUCCUCGCAAAGUUUCAUUCCAUUCUGAGAACUUUUAUUUCUGCACAAAAACAACACCAUGGUAGUUCUGCUAAAAACAGCGCCAUUCCGGGGGUAGUUUCAUUCAAUUCAUGCAAAUUAGAUUCCAAAACAAGAGGAAAAGCAUUAGGAAAAGUAGAUAUGUUGCAGACGUAUCAACUCCCCCAAGCUUAAACCUUUGCUUGUCCUCAAGCAAUUCAGUUGAUAAACUGAAAGUAAAAAAAAGAAAAACUUUUACGAACUCUUUUGCUCUUGUUUGCAUAAAUAAGCUUAAACAACACCCAGAUUUUCGGCCAACAUUAUAACUAACCAUGCCGACAAUAACUCUUAAAGAUUAUAUUAACUCAUAUCAAUGACAUAAUCAGCUAGCGAGCAAUAAUAAGAUAUCUCAAACAGCAACACGUUGUCAAAACAACCAUGAUAUAAUAUGACAAUAGUGGUAUCUCGCUAGCCCUUUCCGAGACCGCAAAACAUAAAUGCAGAGCACCUCCAAAGUUCAAGCAGCGACUAGACAUUGUAAUUCAAGGUAGAAAAGAUCCAGUCAUGAUGCACCCAACAUUAGCUACACACAAGGCAUAAGUCAUGACAGCCGUGCUCUCAGGUUCUGGCGCUUGUUUUAGAAGGUGAUGAAACAACAUAAAAAUAAAUAGAUAGUCCCUUCGCAGAGGGAAGCAGUGAUUUGCAAAGGUGCCAGAGCUCAAGUUUUAAAACAGAGGUAAAUGAUAUUUUGAGACAUGCACCCUUCUCAUUCACUUCACGACCAUCAGUUAUCAAUAUCUUCCAUGCUAAGCACCCUAGUGGCGGUUCCCAAGCGAUAAAAGUAAAGAUUUACUCCCCCUCCACCAUCAAUCACACUCCAUGGCUUGUCCGAAACAACGGGUGUCAUCCAUACCAACAACAGUCCCAGGGGAGUUUUGUUUAAUUAUUGGCAUUUUUGAGUUCGGGACUGGGAAUCCCUAUUACCGCCCUUUUCUCGUGCGAUGGCAAGUGAAUAAACACUUGACCUGAGAAUAACCCGCUUAGCAUGGAAGAUACUGACCACCUCCUGUCGUUCCAUGAACGAUCCAGGCACACAAAAGGAUAUUUAUUUGAAGUUUUUAGAGGUUGCACAUGCAAAUUUACUUAGGACGGUAGGGUAAUACCGCAUAUAGGUAGGGAUGGUGGAUUCAUCUGGGAUAACUUUGGGUUCAAGGUUUUUGAUGUACAAGAAGAAUUCCCACUUAGUACAGGCGAAGGCUAGUAAAUCGAUUGAGAAGCGGCCAGCUAGAGAGCAACAACGGUCAUAAACAUGCAUUAUGCAUAAGUAACAUUGGACACUAGCAUGAGUAGGAUAUGAACACCAUGAACAUAAAUAUCAUAGAGGCUAUGUUGAUUUUGAUUCAACUACAUGCAUGAACAUGUGCCAAGUCAAGCCACUUGAACAUUCAGAGGAGGAUACCAUAUCAUCAUACUACAUCACAAUCAUUUUAAUGCAAUGUUGAUAUCCAAGAUAAAUCAUUAUCCACUCCUAGCUACUUAUGCAUGGCAUGAGAAACUAUAAUCUCUAAUUGUCAUUGCAAACAUGUUUAAUCAUAAUGGGCUGAAUCAUGGAUACUAGGUUAAACAUAUUUACACGAACAGAACAAGUCGAGUUCAUACCCGUUUCUCUCUGCCACGGCCAGUUCAUCGAAUGUCGUCAUUAUUGCCUUUCACUUGCACGAUCGAACGAUAAGAAAAUAAUAAUAGUGCAAGAGUGUCGUGGACUAAGCUGGAAUCUGCAAACAUUUUAUUCAAUAGGAGAAGACAAGGUAAAAUGGGAUCUUUAUUAGAUUAAAAUUAAUUCAUAUGAGAGCCACUCAGCAUUUUCAUCGUGAUCUUCUCCUCGGUAAGACUCGAAUAAAAAGAGAAGAAAUUCAGAGAAACACAUUGAAAUAUUUUCGGAGUUUUUAGUUUUCUUGAACAAGCAAAUAAAAGGGAAAAGCAAAGAAAAUGAGAAAAACUAUUUACACGGGAAAGCUCCCAACAAGCAAAAGAAGAACAAGGAAAUCUUUUUGGGUUUUCCUUUAAGUGCUACUACUAAGCAUGCAUAGAAAGUAAACUACUACAACUAUUUUUUUUGGUUUUUCUGAAGUUUUUCAAACACACAAGAAGAAGGCAAGAAAAUAAAUCUAAGCAUGGAUGAUACAAAGAAAAAGUGUGAACACCGACAAAUAGAAAUAAGUGGACAUGAAUGUAAUGUCGGUGAGAAACACGUAGUCCCCCAAGCUUAGGCUUUUGGCCUAGCUUGGUAGUCGAUCAGUAGCCUGGAUGGUAGUGGGGGUACUGAGGAGUAGGCAUCCACUCAUCCCACUGCUGAGGCUCCUCCUCAGCCUCUGCAGUAGCCUAAGCGUUUUGGUAGGCGAUGAUGUCCGCAGGCAUAAUCCUAUAUCUGCCCCUGGCAACAGAAUCAAAAAAGCAGGUGCAGGCAAAGGAAUAAUAUCACGAGUUUCAAUGCUAAAAACCAGGUUAUAAGGAAUAGGAAUGUUAGGAUAAUCUCGUGCAAGAAAAUGAUGGUGUUCCAUGGCUGCGCAGUCUAGGUAAACCUUGGUCAGAGGGUAAUCAUGAGGGCAUAUCUCAACAUUAAAGUGAGCCGCCAAACAAGUAGCAAAAAUCCCACCAUGUAUUUUACCCUGGGAUUUAUUAAUAUGGAGGCGACGAGCCACAAUACCUCCCAAGAUAUAAGUGUUGUCUCCCUCUAAUGCACGAUGUAAAACAACAAGGUCUGGUGAACUAAGUGCACCCACCUUCUCUCUAGCAAGCAAGCAUUUUGUAAUGAAAAGUGCAAAGUAAUGAACAGAAGGAAAAUGCAAGCCAGGGGCAGCGGUAGCUGACACCCCUCUCUCAUCUCUUACUGUCAAAGUGCGAUAAAAGGCCUCAAACCCAGUUGGCCUAGGCUCAGCUAAGCUCCCAUCAGAAGGGAUCAUGCAUAUGUUACAAAAUUCAGUGAGUGGUAUCUGAUGGUUUUCAGCAUAUAAAUCAAAGCUCACUUCAGGGGGAUUAUUCCUAGGAAAGAAAGUAAAACUUUGAACAAAGAUGUUUGUGAGGAGAUGAAACUGUUCACAUUCAGCCGCGAUGAAGUCGGUGAGGCCGGAUUAGCAGCAUAUUGGGUGAACUCCUGUAGGAUUCCGGCCUCUUCCAUGAACUGGGUGUGCGGCCAUUCGCACGGUCGUACCUCCGCCAACCUCCGAGGAUGGAUAUCACUGUCAGACGACUCCCCAAUAACACCCUUGGAAUUCUUCUUAGAAGCAAACUUACUAAAGAUAUUCAUCCUUUUCCUAUGAACAAAAAUUCUGAAAUUUUUAGUCCACAAAUGUUUCUUAACAAAACUUCACAAAAUUGGUAGCAACUACUCAUAGGGAUACAUAGAGGCCAUAGCAAGCAUUCAAACUACUUAGAACUCUAAGAAUUCAACAUGCAAGCUCAUCUACAGCAGCACUAAGAGUAGCUAAUUAUUCAAAAUGAAAACCAGUAAAACAAAAGCUAAUUGGACAAACGGUGGAUUCACAUACCAAGCAACGAUCCCCCAAAACAGUUUUGGAAACGGAGGUUUGAGCAAAGAGAUCGAAAUUCGCGGGUUUGAGAGCAAGAACACGAGAGAGAGAGAGAGAGAGAGAGAGAGAGAGAGAGAGCAAUGGAGAAUUUUUUGUGGAGGUAAGUGAUGAUGUGGUGUGAAGGGAUAAGUGAGGGGACCACGUGGGGACCACAACCCACCAGGGCGCGCCUGGGGGCCCUGGCACGCCCAGGUGGGUUGUGCUCACCUAGUGCACCUCCCUCUGAUAUUAUUUGUACCAGAAGUUCUCAAAUAUUCAAAAAAAAUCGUACUAAAUUUUCAGAGCAUUCUGAGAACUUUUAUUUUUGGGCCAUUUCUUAUUGCACGGGAAAUUCAGAAAACAGACAAAACAUGGCAUUUUAUUUUAUUUAACUAACAAAACAGAAAACAAAAGGUGGGGACAGAAGGUAGUGCUUACUAAAUUCAUCAACUUCAUACCACUAAAAAUGAUCCAUUAAUAAGGUUGAUUAGGUCUUAUUAACAACCACUUUCGAUUAGCAUGAAACCGAAGAACUUUCGUAAAUCACUAAGUUACCUCAACGGGGAUGUGAAUAUCCCCAACAAUAAGCAUUUCAUAUUUUUUUAACAGUAGGUAGAGGUAGAUGAAAACUUCCAAUAGUGGUUGUCGGAGAUUUUUCAAUAACAUUAAUACCAUUCACUUGGAAUUGUUUCUUCGGAAAGUGCACCGUAUGCUCAUUGCCAUUGAUAUGAAAAGUGACCUUGCUUUUAUUGCAACCAAUAACAGCCCCUGCAGUAUUCAAGAAGGGUCUACCAAGGAUAAUCGACAUGUUGUCGUCCUCAGGCAUCUCAAGUAUAACAAAGUCAGUCCAAAUAGUAACAUUAGCACCAACAACGGGCACAUCCUCACAAAUACCAAUAGGUAUGGCAGUUGAUUGGUCAGCCAUUUGCAAAGAUAUUUCAGUAGGUGUGAGUUUAUUCAAGUCAAGUCUUUUAUAUAAAUAGAAAGGCAUAACACUAACACCAGCUACUAAAUCACAUAAAGCAAUUUUCACAUAAUUCUUUUUGAUGGAGUAAGGUAUAGUUGGUAUUCCCAGAUCUCCAAGUUUUAUAGGUACUCCAUCUUUAAAAGUAUAAUUAGCAAGCAUGGUGGAGAUUUCAGCUUCCAGUAUUUUUCUCUUAUUGGUGAUGAUGUCUUUCAUAUACUUUGCAUAAGGAGGCAUUUUCAAGAUAUCAGUCAAGCGAGUACGCAAAAAGACCGGCCUCAGCAUUUCAGCAAAGCGUUCAAAUUGUUCAUCGUCUUUCUUUUUAGUUGACUUGGGUGGAAAUGGCAUAGGUUUUUGAACCCACGGUUCUCUUUCUUUACCAUGUUUUCUAGCAAUGAAGUCUCUUUUAUCAUAUCUUUUAUUCUUAGGUUGUGGGUUAUCAAGAUCAAUAGGUGGUUCUAUCUCAACAUCAUUGUCUGGUUCUUUUUCAUUGUUUGGUUGAGCAUCUUCAUGAACAUAAGCAUUAUCUUUUUCAUUAUCACUAGGUGGAUGUUCAUUACCAGAUUGAGUUUCAGCAUCAGAAAUAGAGACAUCAUUAUCAUUAUUAGGAGGUUUUUCUACUUCGGGUUCACUAGAAGCAUGCAAAGUCCUAUCAUUUUUCUUUUUCUUUUUAGAAGGACUAGGUGAGUGGUGUUGUUCCUUUAUGAAUCUUGUUCAAUUCUUUUUGGGUGUCCCUCAGGAUAAAGUGGUUCCUGAGUCAUUUUACCUCCUCUAGUUGCAACUCUCACAGCAAAGUCAUGUAUAUUAUUAUUCUUUUCAUCAAGUAAUUCUCUUUGAGAUUUACCAACUUGUUCUAACUGGGUUUGAACCAUAGAAGCAUGUUCUGCAACACCUCUAACAUCAUUUGAAAUUCUAAAUAACAAGUCACUCAAGUGACCAAUCAUAUCAGAAUUGUAUUUCAAUUGUAUCAUAGCAUUUUCAUUGAAGUCAUCUUGUUUUCUAAUGUAGUUUUCAAACUUAUAAAGGCAUUUACUAGGAUGCAUAUUGUGAGGAUUGUCUUUAUCAUUGAAUUUCAUUAGAGAAUCUACCUCUACCACCUUAGGCAGUGGUGGUGUAUUAAGCCCAUGUAUUUCUUCAAUAGGAGGUAAAUUUUUAACAUCCUCCGCUUUAAUACCUUUUUCCUUCAUAGAUUUCUUUACCUCUUGCAUAUCUUCAGGACCGAGAUAUAAUAUACCCCUCUUCUUUGGAGUGGGUUUAGCCGGUGGUUCAGGAAGAGUCCAACCAUCAUAAUUUUUCAAUAUGUUAUUCAAUAAUUCUUCAGCUUGCCCAACAGUUCGUUCCCUGAAAACACAACCAGCACAACUAUCUAGGAAGUCCCUAGAAGCAUCGGUUAGUUCAUUAUAGAAGAUAUCAAGUAUUUCAUUUUUCUUAAGAGGAUGAUCAGGCAAAGCAUUAAGUAACUGGCAAAGCCUCCCCCAAGCUUGUGGGAGACUCUCUUCUUUAGUUUCCACAAAGUUAAAUAUCUCAUGCAAGGCAGCUUGUUUCUUAUGAGCAGGAAAAUAUUUUUCAGAGAAGCAAUAAAUCAUAUCCUGGGGACUACGCACACAACUAGGAGCAAGAGUAUUAUACCAAGCUUUAGCAUCACCCUUUAAUGAGAACGGAAAUAAUUUGAGAAUAAAGUAAUAGUGAGUCUUCUCAUCAUGAGUAAAAAGGGUGGCUAUGUCAUUCAACUUAGUAAGAUGUGCCACGACAGUUUUAGUUUCAUAACCAUGGAAACGAUCAGAUUCAACAAAAGUAAUUAACUCUGGGUCAACAGAGAAUUCAUAAUCCUUAUCAUCAAUUAAGAUAGGUGAGGUAGCAAACUUAGGAUCACAUUUCAUUCUAGCAUUCAGAUAUUUUUCUUUAUACUUGCAUAAUAAUUUCUCUAGAUCAUCUCUAUCCUUACAAGCAAGAAUAUCUCUAGUUGUCUCCUCAUUCAUAACAUAACCUUCCGGUACCUUUGGCAAUUCAUAUCUAGGAAGGCUAGUUCUAGCAGGUGUUUCAGGAGUUUCAGUUUCAAGAUCAUCAUCAGAUUCAACAACAUCAUGUUGUAUUACUCUAGCAAUUUGUUCAUCAAGAAAAUCACCAAGUGACACAUCAUCAUUAUCAAGCAAGGUACUAGCAUCAUCAUAAGCAUUAUCCAUAGCAGAAGUAGCAUCAUCAAUAACUUGUGACAUAUCAGAAUUGAUAGCAUGUGGUGGUGUUGCAAGUUUACUUAUAACAGAAGGUGAAUCUAAAGCAGAACGGCAUGGCAGUUCCUUACCUCCCCUUCUCUUAGAGGGAAAUAUCUUGGUCUUAGCAUCCUUCAGAUUCCUCAUAGUGAUAAAUUGAUAAUAAUCCCAAGUGACUCAACAAAUAUAGCUAUGCUCCCCGGCAACGGCACCAGAAAAAGGUCUUGAUAACCCCACAAGUAUAGGGGAUCGCAACAGUUUUCGAGGGUAGAGUAUUCAACCCAAAUUUAUAGAUUCGACACAAGGGGAGCCAAAGAAUAUUUGAACGUAUUAGCAGCUGAGUUGUCAAUUCAACCACGCCUGGAGAUUAAUUAUCUGUAGCAAGUAAUCAGUAGCAAAGAAGUAUGAUAGUUUUGAUAGUAGUAACAGCAGCAACGGUAACAGUAACAGUGAUAGCAGUAUUUUGUAGCAAGUGUAACAGUGAUGAUAACAGUAGUAACUUAGCAAGAACAAUAUAAGAUAAAUUCAUAGGCAUUGGAUUGGUGACUUGUUGGCUGAUAUUCAUCAUGAGACAGUUAUAACCUAGGGCGAUACGGCACUAGCUCCAGUUCGUCAAUAUAAUGUAGGCAUGUAUUCCGUAAAUAGUCAUACGUGCUUAUGGAAAGAACUUGCAUGACAUCUUUUUCCUACCCUCCUGUGGAAGCAGGGUCCAUAUUGGAAACUAAGGGAUAUUAAGGCCUCCUUUUAAUAGAGAACCGGAACAAAGCAUUAACACAUAGUGAAUACAUGAACUCCUCAAACUACGGUCAUCACCGGGAGUGGUCCCGACUAUUGUCACUCCGGGGUUGGCGGAUCAUAACACGUAGUAGGUGACUAUAACUUGCAAGAUCGGAUCUAGAACAUGGAUAAAAUUGUGAUAACAUAAACGGUUCAGAUUUGAGUUCAUGGCACCCGGGCCCAAAGUGACAAGCAUUAAGCAUAGCAAAGUCAUAGCAACAUCAAUCUAGGAACAUAAUGGAUACUAGGGAUGAAGCCCUAACAAAACUAACUCGAUUACAUGAUGAAUCUCAUCCAACUCCUCACCGACCAGCGAGCCUACGAAGGAAUUACUCACUCCCGGUGGGGAGCAUCAUGGAAUUGGCGUUGGAGAAGGGUUCGUGAUGACAAAGAACGAAGAUCCCUCUCUCCGGAGCCCCAAACGGACUCCAGAUCUGGCCUCCCGAUGAAGAACAGGAGGUGACGGCAGCUCCGUCUCGUGGAUUGCAAUAAUUCUUUCUCCCUGAUUUUUUCUCGAAAAUAGGAUUUUAUAGCGUCAGUUUCAGGGUCUGCGGUUCCACCAGGUGGGGACAACCCACCUGGGCACGCCAGGAGAGGGGGCGCGCCCUGGUGGGUUGUUCCCACCCAGGGGCCCCUCUCCGGUAGGUCUUGGCUCCAAAAUUUCUUAUUUAUUAUACAAAAAUACCUCGCAAAGUUUCGUUCCAUUCCGAGAACUUUUAUUUCUGCACAAAAACAACACCGUCAAUCCGGGGUUAGUUUCAUUCAAAUCAUCCAAAUUAGAGUUCAAAACAAGAGGAAAAGCGUUAGGAAAAGCAGAUACGUUGGAGACGUAUCAGAGGGCGCGCCCUAGGUGGGGGGAGCCCCCCUACCUUGUGGGCCCCUCGGUGACUCCCUGACCUAGAUCUUUGUAACAUCCCAAUUUUCAAUUUGGAUGUUAUACAUAGGUCAUCUUAUGCAUAUCAUAUUUUAUUUGCAUUUUGGUUGUGAUCCUAGAAAUAUUAAGCAACUCAAGGACCCAAGGAGAGAGUUGGAGAUUUCAUUCAUUUUCAUAUUUGAAUUUUUCUCAAAUUUGAAAAGAGGAUCAAUUUGAUUUUUAUAUUUUCUCUCCAAUUAAUUCCAAUAAUAAAAAUAAAUGAGAGAAGAUAAUAUGACUUCUUAAAAGGAGAGGAAAUAUUGGAGAAGAAAUUUUAAAAUCAAAUUAUUAUUUUAUUUGGAUUUUAUUUGCUAUUUUAUUUGAAUUAGAAAAGAAUAUGCAUUUUUGAAAAUCGCAUUUUAGGCCAGAAAAAUGUUCACCUUGUUCUAAAUAUUAGGUUUAGACGGUGAAAAUUGUUUCUGGUAUUUUUAGAAUUUUUUUAUAUUUUAUUAGGAUUUUUUCUUUCGGGCGAAAUUUAUUUAUUUAAAUAAAAAGUUCGCCGCCCGACUAGCCCGAAGGCCCAGCCGAGCCGGGCCGCAGCCCACGUCGCCCCGCCGCCUUCCUCCCGAGCGGGAGGAGUCCCGCCGCCGCACGGACGCCGAGGGAGUCCGGCUCGGACUCCUGUCGGGCCGCCCCCUCGCCCAAGGCACGCGCCGCCCCGCCCCCUUUAUAACACGCCCCACCCCGCCGCCUCCUUCAUCACCCCCACCCGCAGCCGCCGNNNNNNNNNNGCCGCUGCUGCGAGCUGCCGCUGCCACCGCCGCUUGCGCGCCGCCGUUCGUCGUCGCCAUUCCGCGCCGCGCCGCCGCUUUGCCUCGCCUGAUUUCGCCGCCGCCGACUGGUAUAAAACCGUCCCGGUUCGCCGUUUUUUUGUUCUUCGGUUUAGAUCGGUUUAUUUUUAGGGUUAGGGUUUUUCUCGAUUUUUCUGUUCGGAUCUAAUUAGCGGACGUUCGUCUGUUAAUUCGCAGUAGCGAACAACGUUCGUUCGUUUGGUUCUGUUAGCGAACGUUCGUUCGAUAGGUUCUUCUUUUUAUUUUAUUUUCGGCAACGGACCUAUUCAUGAUUACUUUUAUCACAGAUUUGUCCCUGAUCUUCAAACCCUAGCAACUUUUUGCUCGUUCGUCCAAAUCCAGUGAAACCAAUGCUAGAAUCGUCGUCUUGUUCCCCUCUUUCCAGUUAACCAACUUGAACAUGAUUUUGACAAUUUAAAAUUUGGUUUCAAGCAUAUUUGAAUUCGAACUUCGUUUGAUCGUAGUUUGUGUUUCGUAGCUCCGAUUCGAUUGAUCCUUUUUGCAAAUCAAAGCUCUUCAGUUGAACUUUCAGUUUGCAUCCUUUCUCUUGAGUUUUACCCUUGCAUCUAUUGCUUGAGUGCUUAUGUAUGCUAUUUUUUGUUUAUGAUAGAGUUUCCGGAGUGCGAAGCGUGCUACUACGAGUCACUAGGGUUUUCAGAUCGUCAGCAAGGCAAGUAACACUUUGAUCAUAUCCCUUAUUACCCAGUUUUUAUGCAUUAGUUUCAUUCCUCAAACAUUGCAUGAGUAGGGUCUGAUUAGCAUGUGGGUUUUUGGGAAGUAGUUGUUGAGGUAGUACCUAUUGCCCUUUCAUUCAAACCUUGGGAGUUACUACGUUACGCUUAUUACACUUUGCUAUGCUAUGCUCGUAGACGUGGUUUGGUUUGAGUGAUUCAUGACAGUUGUGAGUAUUAUUGUGAGCUAAGGGUUUACUUAAGGUAGCUACUUUAACACACAUCUGGGUGGAUUGGUUGUGGGCACCUGGGGUAAUCCAGUGCUGUCCAAAGGAGAAUCCCGGGGUAUCCGUGUGAUUUUUCCAAUGGUUCGCCUCUCAGGCUCAAAGGGAUCAUUAUGUUAUUCAUGCUGGAAACUUCCGUGUGCAGCCACAAGCCAUUAUGGGCUCUGGCAUAGUUGAGUAAGUUGUGGGAAUCCUUUCCAUGAUGGGCUAGCAGAUGUAGGGGAUUGUAGGUGUACCGGCCUAUCUAUCGGUUAAGGGGACCUCUUUGGAAAGACUGUGUCUCGGUCAUCCGUUUCUCAAACAUCAUGUAGUGCGAGAAAUCCAACGGAGGAGAUCGAGACUUGUGGGGAAAAGUGCGCAAGCCUCCGCAGAGUGUAUAAACUAAUCAUGGUUAGCCGUGUCCCCAGUUAUGGACAUCUUGAGUAUCUGGUGCUUGAAUUACUAUGUUGAUCUCAACACUUUACUUAAUAAAUUGUGGGAUUAUUGUUAACUUUUAAUUGGGAUUGAGAUGGGGUUACCAUUCUCAAUGUUUUCAACCAACUUUGUAGUUAAAUAAAAUAUAUUCUUUUGUUGUAGGGAAAAACUAGCUUUAAGGAAAUGAUAACCAUAGAGCCUCCACCAGCCAAAUAUGCAUAUAGUUAUAGCUGCUACUUGUUCAUUGCUCUAUAGUGUUAUCUUGCCAGCAUAUUCCAUGUGCUGACCUACACAGGCUGCAACGUAUUAUGUUGCAGAGUUUUUAGACGAAGAGUAAGGUGCGCUAGGUCAUUGUCGUGCACUCAGCUAUGCCGUUGGAGUUGAUGGACUCAUUUACCUUCGAAGCUUCCGCUGUUAUCUUAUUUAGAUGGCCUUCAGCCAUAUUAUUGUAAUAAGUUCUCUUUUGAGACAUUCGAUUUAAUAAGUGUGUGAUUGCACUCUGUUAUAAAUCCUCGAGUAUUGUGUGUGUCAGCAUUACUGAUCCAGGGAUGACACUUACACACAGAGAUUUGACAGUCUGAGGUCGGAUCGCUACAAUCUUGCUCCUAUAUAUUCACAUAUAUUCCAAAACCACUAGAAGCAUCCACGAAAACACUUUUCCACCGCCGCAACCUUCUGAUCCCGUGAGAUCCCAUCUGGCGGCCUUUUCCGGCAUCCUGCCGGAGGAGGAUUCAAUCACGGAGGGCAUCUACAUCAAAUCUUUUGCCCUUCCGAUGAAGCGUGAGUAGUUUACCUCAGACCUACGGGUCCAUAGCUAGUAGCUAGAUUUCUUCUUCUCUCUCUUUGAUUCUCGAUACCAUGUUCUCCUCGAUGUUCUUGGAGAUCUGUCUGAGAUCUUCUUUUGCUCUGUGUUUGUCGAGAUCCGAUGAAUUGUGGAUUUAUGAUCAGCUUAUCUAUGAAUAUUAUUUGAAUCUUCUCUGAAUUCUUAUAUGCAUGAUUUGGUAUCUUUGUAUUUCCCUUCGAAUUAUCGGUUUGGUUUGGCCAACUAGAUUGGUGUUUCUUGCAAUGGGAGAGGUGCUUAGUGAUGUAGGCUAGGACUACGUCGAUAUUUCCCCAAAGAGGAAGGGAUGAUGCAGCACACCGAUGGUAGGUAUUUCCCUCAGUGAAGAAACCAAGGUUAUCAAACCAGUAGGAAAACCAAGCAACACAACGUAAACUGCCCCUGCACACAGAUAACAAAUCCUCGCAACCCAACGUGUAAAAGGGUUUGUCAAUCCCUGUCGGGUAGCGGCGCCCCAAGAUGGGCAAACAGACGUGAGGAAAUUGUAGUAGAUUGAUAGAUCGAACGCCAAACAAAAUAAAUAAGAAUAAAUUGCAGCAAGGUAUUUUUGUAUUUUUAGUUUAAUAGAUCUGAAAAUAAAUGCAAAGGAAAAGUAGAUCGCAAAGGCAAAUAUAUGAGAAAUAGAACCGGGGGGCAUAGGUUUUGUUGGGGAACGUAGUAAUUUAAAAAAAAAAUACUACGCACACGCAAGAUCAUGGUGAUGCAUAGCAACGAGAGGGGAGAUUGUUGUCUACGUACCCUCGUAGACCGAAAGCGGAAGCGUUAGCACAACGCGGUUGAUGUAGUCGUACGUCUUCACGAUCCGACCAAUCAAGUACCGAACACACGGCACCUCCGAGUUCAGCACACAUUCAGCCCGAUGACGUAUCUGGUUGACCUAUGAGGUUCGGUUGUAACUUGAUCCGAAGCUUCAUGAUCAUCAUCAUUAACUUCCUCACUAAUUGGUGUAAGCAUCACUGGAACUGAUUUGUGUGAUGAACUACUUUCCAAUUCGGGAGAAGGUACAAUUACCUUAUCAAGUUUUACUUUCCUCCCACUCACUUCUUUCGAGAGAAACUCCUUCCCUAGAAAGGACCCAUUCUUAGCAACAAAGAUCUUGCCUUCGGAUCUGUGAUAGAAGGUGUACCCAACAUUUUGGGUAUCCUAUGAAGACGCACUUCUUCGAUUUGGGUUUGAGCUUAUCAGGUUGAAAUUUUUCACAUAAGCAUCGCAGCCCCAAACUUUAAGAAACGACAACUUUGGUUUCUUGCCAAACCACAAUUCAUAAGGCGUCGUCUCAACGGAUUUUGAUGGUGCCCUAUUUAAAGUGAAUGCAGUUGUCUCUAAUGUAUAACCCCAAAACGAUAGUGAUAAAUCGCUAAGAUAAUUCAUAGAUCGCACCAUAUCCAAUAAAGUGCGGUUACGACAUUUCGGACACACCACUACGCUGUGGUGUUCCAUGUGGCGUGAGCUGUGAAACUAUUCCUACGCACACGCAAGAUCAUGGUGAUGCAUAGCAACGAGAGGGGAGAGUGUUGUCUACGUACCCUCGUAGACCGAAAGCGGAAGCGUUAGCACAACACGGUUGAUGUAGUCAUACGUCUUCACGAUCCGACCGAUCAAGUACCGAAUGCACGGCACCUCCGAGUUCAGCACACGUUCAGCCCGAUGGCGUCCCUCGAACUCCGAUCCAGCCGAGUGUUGAGGGAGAGUUUCGUCAGCACGACGGCGUGGUGACGAUGAUGAUGUUCUACCGACGCAGGGCUUCGCCUAAGCACCGCUACAGUAUUAUCGAGGUGGACUAUGGUGGAGUGGGCCACCGCACACGGCUAAAAGAUCAAACGAUCAAUUGUUGUGUCUCUAGGGUGCCCCCUGCCCCCGUAUAUAAAGGAGCAAGGGGGAGGUGCGGCCGGCCAGGAGGGGGCGCGCCAGGAGGAGUCCUACUCCCACCGGGAGUAGGACUCCCUCCCUUUUCCUUGUUGGAUUAGGAGAAGAGGGGGAAAGAGGUGGAGGAGAAGAAGGAAAGGGGGGUGCCGCCCCCCUCUCCUUGUCCUAUUCGGACUAGGGGGGAGGGGUGCGCGGCCCUUGCCCUGUCCGCCUCUCCUCUUCUCCACCAAGGCCCACUAUGGCCCAUUAACCCCCGGGGGGUUCCGGUAACCCCUCCGGUACUCCAGUAAAAUCCUGAUUUCACCCGGAACACUUCCGAUAUCCAAACAUAGGCUUCCAAUAUAUCAAUCUUCAUGUCUCGACCAUUUUCGAGACUCCUCGUCAUGUCCGUGAUCACAUCCGGGACUCCGAACAACCUUCGGUACAUCAAAACAUAUAAACUCAUAAUAUAACUGUCAUCGUAACUUUAAGCGUGCGGACCCUAUGGGUUCGAGAACUAUGUAGACAUGACCGAGACAUGUCUCCGGUCAAUAACCAAUAGCGGAACCUGGAUGCUCAUAUUGGCUCCCACAUAUUCUACGAAGAUCUUUAUCUGUCAGACCGCAUAACAACAUACGUUGUUCCCUUUGUCAUCGGUAUGUUACUUGCCCGAGAUUCGAUCGUCGGUAUCUCAAUACCUAGUUCAAUCUCGUUACCGGCAAGUCUCUUUACUCGUUCCGUAAUACAUCAUCGCAACUAACUCAUUAGUUUCUAUGCUUGCAAGUCUUCUAGUGAUGUGCAUUACCGAGUGGGCCCAGAGAUACCUCUCCGACAAUCGGAGUGACAAAUCCUAAUCUCGAAAUACGCCAACCCAACAAGUACCUUCGGAGACACCUGUAGAGCACCUUUAUAAUCACCCAUUUACGUUGUGAUGUUUGAUAGCACACAAAGUGUUCCUCCGGUAAACGGGAGUUGCAUAAUCUCAUAGUCAUAGGAACAUGUAUAAGUCAUGAAGAAAGCAAUAACAACAUACUAAACAAUCAAGUGCUAAGCUAACGGAAUGGGUCAAGUCAAUCACAUCAUUCUCCUAUUGAUGUGAUCCCGUUAAUCAAAUGACAACUCAUGUCCAUGGCUAGGAAACUCAACCAUCUUCGAUUAACGAGCUAGUCAAGUAGAGGCAUACUAGUGACACUAUGUUUGUCUAUGUAUUCACACAUGUAUUAUGUUUCCGGUUAAUACAAUUCUAGCAUGAAUAAUAAACAUUUAUCAUGAAAUAAGUAAAUAAAUAAUAACUUUAUUAUUGCCUCUAGGGCAUAUUUCCUUCAGUCUCCCACUUGCACUAGAGUCAAUAAUCUAGUUCACAUCACCAUGUGAUUUAAUACUAAUAUUCACAUCUGCAUGUGAUUAACACCCAUAGUUCACAUCGUCAUGUGACCAAUACCCAAAGGGUUUACUAGAGUCAAUAAUCUAGUUCACAUCGCUAUGUGAUUAACACCCAAAGAGUACUAAGGUGUGAUCAUGUUUUGCUCGUGAGAGAAAUUUAGUCAACGGGUCUGCCACAUUCAGAUCCGUAUGUAUUUUGCAAAUUUCUAUGUCAACAAUGCUCUGCACGGAGCUACUCUAGCUAAUUGCUCCCACUUUCAAUAUGUAUACAGAUCGAGACUUAGAGUCAUCUGGAUCAGUGUCAAAGCUUGUAUCGACGUAAUUCUUUACGACGAACCUUUUGUCACCUCCAUAAUCGAGAAACAUAUCCUUAUUCCACUAAGGAUAAUUUUGACUGUUGUCCAGUGAUCUACUCCUAGAUCACUAUUGUACUCCCUUGCUAAACCCAGUGUAGGGUAUACAAUAGAUCUGGUACACAGCAUGGCAUACUUUAUAGAACCUAUGGCUGAGGCAUAGGGAAUGACUUUCAUUCUCUUUCUAUCUUCUGCUGUGGUCGGGCUUUGAGUCUUACUCAAUUUCACACCUUGUAACACAGGCAAGAACUCUUUCUUUGAUUGUUCCAUUUUAAACUACUUCAAAAUUUUGUCAAGGUAUGUACUCAUUGAAAAAACUUAUCAAGCGUCUUGAUCUAUCUCUAUAGAUCUUGAUGCUCAAUAUGUAAGCAGCUUCACCGAGGUCUUUCUUUGAAAAACUCCUUUCAAACACUCCUUUAUGCUUUGCAGAAUAAUUCUACAUUAUUUCCGAUCAACAAUAUGUCAUUCACAUAUACUUAUCAGAAAUGCUAUAGUGCUCCCACUCACUUUCUUGUAAAUACAGGCUUCACCGCAAGUCUGUAUAAAACUAUAUGCUUUGAUCAACUUAUCAAAGCGUAUAUUCCAACUCCGAGAUGCUUGCACCAGUCCAUAGAUGGAUCGCUGCAGCUUGCAUAUUUUGUUAGCACCUUUAGGAUUGACAAAACCUUCUGGUUGCAUCAUAUACAACUCUUCUUUAAUAAAUCCAUUAAGGAAUACAGUUUUGUUUAUCCAUUUGCCAGAUUUCAUAAAAUGCGGCAAUUGCUAACAUGAUUCGGACAGACUUAAGCAUAGAUACGAGUGAGAAACUCUCAUCGUAGUCAACACCUUGAACUUGUCGAAAACCUUUUGCGACAAUUCUAGAUUUGUAGAUAGUAACACUACUAUCAGCGUCCGUCUUCCUCUUGAAGAUCCAUUUAAUUUCAAUGGCUCGCCGAUCAUCGAGCAAGUCAAUCAAAGUCCAUACUUUGUUCUCAUACAUGGAUCCCAUCUCAGAUUUCAUGGCCUCAAGCCAUUUUGCGGAAUCUGGGCUCAUCAUCGCUUCCUCAUAGUUCGUAGGUUCGUCAUGGUCAAGUAACAUGAAUUCCAGAAUAGGAUUACCGUACCACUCUGGUGCGGAACGUAUCUGGUUGACCUACGAGGUUCGGUUGUAACUUGAUUCGAAGCUUAAUGAUCUUCAUCAUUAACUUCCUAACUAAUUGGUGUAAGCAUCACUGGAACUGAUUUGUGUGAUGAACUACUUUCCAAUUCGGGAGAAGGUACAAUUACCUUAUCAAGUUUUACUUUCCUCCCACUCACUUCUUUCGAGAGAAACUCCUUCUCUAGAAAUGAUCCAUUCUUAGCAACAAAGAUCUUGCCUUCGGAUUUGUGAUAGAAGGUGUACCCAACAUCUUGGGUACCCUAUGAAGACGCACUUCUCAGAUUUGGGUUUGAGCUUAUCAGGUUGAAACUUUUUCACAUAAGCAUUGCAGCCCCAAACUUUAAGAAACGACAACUUUGGUUUCUUGCCAAACCACAGUUCAUAAGGCGUCGUCUCAACGGAUUUUGAUGGUGCCCUAUUUAAAGUGAAUGCAGCUGUCUCUAAUGUAUAACCCCAAAACGAUAGUGAUAAAUCGGUAAGAUACAUCAUAGAUCGCACCAUAUCCAAUAAAGUGCGGUUACGACAUUUCGGACACACCACUACGCUGUGGUGUUCCAUGUGGCGUGAGCUGUGAAACUAUUACACAUUGUUUUUAAAUGAAGGCCAAAACUCGUAACUCAAAUAUUCUCCUCUACGAUCAGAUUGUAGAAACUUUAUUUUCUUGUUACGAUGAUUCUCCACUUCACUCUAAAAUUCUUUGAACUUUUCAAAUGUUUCAGACUUGUGCUUCAUUAAGUAGAUAUACUCAUAUCUGCUCAAAUCAUCUGUGAAGGUCAGAAAAUAACGAUACCCGCCACGAGCAUCAACACUCAUUGGACCGCAUACAUCGGUAUGUAUUAUUUCCAACAAGUCAGUAGCUCGUUCCAUUAUUCGGAGAAUUGAGUUUUAGUCAUCUUGCCCAAAAGGCACGGUUCGCAAGCAUCAAAUGAUUCAUAACCAAGUGAUUCCAAAAGUCCAUCUUAAUGGAGUUUCUUCAUGCGCUUUACACCGAUAUGACCCAAACGGCAGUGCCACAAAUAAGUUGCACUAUCAUUAUCAACUUUGCAUCUUUUGGCAUCAAUAUUAUGAAUAUGUGUAUCACUACGAUCGAGAUCCAACAAACUAUUUUCAUUGGGUGUAUGACCAUCGAAGGUUUUAUUCAUGUAAACAGAACAACAAUUAUUCUCUGACUUUAAAUGAAUAACUGUAUUGCAAUAAACAUGAUCAAAUCAUAUUUAUGCUCAACGCAAACGCGAAAUAACAUUUAUUUACGUUUAACACUAAUACCGAAAGUAUAGGGAGUGUGUGAUGAUGAUCAUAUCAAUCUUGGAACCACUUUCAACACACAUCGUCACUUCACCCUCAACUAGUCUCUGUUUAUUCUGUAACUCAUGUUUUGAGUUACUAAAUUUUUAGCAACCGAACAAGUAUCAAAUACCCAGGGGCUACUAUAAACACUGGUAAGGUACACAUCAAUAACCUGUAUAUCAAAUAUACCCUUGUUCACUUUGCCAUCCUACUUAUCCACCAAAUAUUCAGGGUAUUUCCGCUUCCAGUGACCAUUUCCUUUGCAGUAGAAGCACUCAGUUUCAGGCUUUGGUCCAGCUUUGGGCCUCUUCACGGGAGUGACAACUUGCUUGCCAUUCUACUUGAAGUUUCCCUUUCUUUCCCUUUGCCCUUUUCUUGAAACUAGUGGUCUUGUCAAUCAUCAACACUUGAUGCUCUUUCUUGAUUUCUACCUUCAUUGAUUUCAACAUCACGAAGAGCUCGGGAAUCGUUUUCGUCAUCCCUUGCAUACUAUAGUUCAUCAUGAAGUUCUGGUAACUUGGUGAUGGUGACUAGAGAACUCUGUCAAUCACUAUCUUAUCUGGAAUAUUAACUCCCACUUGAUUCAAGCGAUUGUAGUACCCAGACAAUCUGAGCACAUGCUCACUGCUUGAGCUAUUCUCCUCCAUCUUUUAGCUAUAGAACUUGUUGGAGACUUCAUAUCUCUCAACUCGGGUAUUUGCUUGAAAUAUUAACUUCAACUCCUGGAACAUCUCAUAUGGUCCAUGACGUUCAAAACGUCUUUGAAGUCCCGAUUCUAAGCCGUUAAGCAUGGUGCACUAAACUAUCAAGUAGUCAUCAUACCGAGCUUUUGUCAAACGUUCAUAACGUCUGCAUCUGCUCCUGCAAUAGGUCUGUCACCUAGCGGUGCAUCAAGGACAUAAUUCUUCUGUGCAGCAAUGAGGAUAGACCUCAGAUCACGGACCAAGUCCGCAUCAUUGCUACUAUCAUCUUUCAACAUAUUUUUCUCUAGGAACAUAUCAAAAUAAAACAGGGGAGCUAAAUGCGAGCUAUUGAUCUACAACAUAGAUAUGCUAAUACUACCAGGACUAAGUCAUGAUAAAUUAAAGUUCAAUUAAUCAUAUUACUUAAGAACUCCCACUUAGAUAGACAUCCCUCUAAUCAUCUAAGUGAUCACGCGAUCCAAAUCAACUAAACCAUAACCGAUCAUCACGUGAAAUGGAGUAGUUUUCAAUGGUGAACAUCACUAUGUUGAUCAUAUCUACUAUAUGAUUCACGCUCGACCUUUCGGUCUCAGUGUUCCGAGGCCAUAUCUGCAUAUGCUAGGCUCGUCAAGUUUAACCUGAGUAUUCAGCGUGUGCAAAACUGGCUUGCACCCGUUGUAGAUGGACGUAGAGCUUAUCACACCCGAUCAUCACGUGGUGUCUGGGCACGACGAACUUUGGCAAAGGUGCAUACUCAGGGAGAACACUUUUAUCUUGAAAUUUAGCGAGAGAUCAUCGUAUAAUGCUACCGUCAAUCAAAGCAAGAUAAGAUGCAUAAAAGAUAAACAUCAUAUGCAAUCAAUAUAAGUGAUAUGAUAUGGCCAUCAUCAUCUUGUGCUUGUGAUCUCCAUCUCCGAAGCACCGUCAUGAUCACCAUCGUCACCGGCGCGACACCUUGAUCUCCAUCAUAGCAUCGUUGUCGUCUCGCCAACUUAUGCUUCUACGACUAUCGCUACCGCUUAGUGAUAAAGUAAAGCAUUACAGGGCGAUUGCAUUGCAUACAAUAAAGCGACAACCAUAUGGCUCCUGCCAGCUGCCGAUAACUCGGUUACAAAACAUGAUCAUCUCAUGCAAUAAAAUUUAGCAUCAUGUCUUGACCAUAUCACAUCACAACAUGCCCUGCAAAAACAAGUUAGACGUCCUCUACUUUGUUGUUGCAAGUUUUACGUGGCUGCUACUGGGCUUAGCAAGAACCGUUCUUACCUACGCAUCAAAACCACAACGAUAGUUUGUCAAGUUGGUGCUGUUUUAACCUUCGCAAGGACCGGGCGUAGCCACACUCGGUUCAACCAAAGUUGGAGAAAUUGACACCCGCCAGCCACCUGUGUGCAAAGCACGUCGGUAGAACCAGUCUCGCGUAAGCGUACGCGUAAUGUCGGUCCGGGCCGCUUCAUCCAACAAUACCGCCGAACCAAAGUAUGACAUGCUGGUAAGCAGUAUGACUUAUAUCGCCCACAACUCACUUGUGUUCUACUCGUGCAUAUGACAUCUACGCAUAAAACCAGGCUCGGAUGCCACUGUUGGGGAACGUAGUAAUUUCAAAAAAAAUUCCUACGCACACGCAAGAUCAUGGUGAUGCAUAGCAACGAGAGGGGAGAGUGUUGUCUACGUACCGAAAGCGGAAGCAUUAGCACAACGCGGUUGAUGUAGUCGUACGUCUUCACGAUCCGACCGAUCAAGUACCGAACGCACGGCACCUCCGAGUUCAGCACACGUUCAGCCCGAUGACGUCCCUCGAACUCCGAUCCAGCCGAGUAUUGAGGGAGAGUUUCGUCAGCACGACGGUGUGGUGACGAUGAUGAUGUUCUACCGAUGCAGGGCUUCGCCUAAGCACCACUACAGUAUUAUCGAGGUGGACUAUGGUGGAGGGGGGCACCGCACACGGCUAAAAGAUCAAACGAUCAAUUGUUGUGUCUCUAGGGUGCCCCCCUGCCCCCGUAUAUAAAGGAGCAAGGGGGGAGGUGCGGCCGGCCAGGAGCGGCCGCCCCCCUCUCCUUGUCCUAUUCGGACUAGGGGGAGGGGUGUGCGGCCCUUGCCCUGGCCGCCUCUCCUCUUCUCCACCAAGGCCCACUAUGGCCCAUUAACACCCGGGGGGUUCCGGUAACCCCUCCGGUACUCCGGUAAAAUCCCGAUUUCACCCGGAACACUUCCGAUAUCCAAACAUAGGCUUCCAAUACAUCAAUCUUCAUGUCUCGACCAUUUCGAGACUCCUCGUCAUGUCCGUGAUCACAUCCGGGACUCCGAACAACCUUCGGUACAUCAAAACAUAUAAACUCAUAAUAUAACUGUCAUCGUAACUUUAAGCGUGCGGACCCUACGGGUUCAAGAACUAUGUAGACAUGACCGAGACAUGUCUCCGGUCAAUAACCAAUAGCGGAACCUGGAUGCUCAUAUUGGCUCCCACAUAUUCUACGAAGAUCUUUAUCGGUCAGACCGCAUAACAACAUACGUUGUUCCCUUUGUCAUCGAUAUGUUACUUGCCCGAGAUUCGAUCAUCGGUAUCUCAAUACCUAGUUCAAUCUCGUUACCGGCAAGUCUCUUUACUCAUUCCGUAAUACAUCAUCCUGCAACUAACUCAUUAGUUUCUAUGCUUGCAAGGCUUAUAGUGAUGUGCAUUACCGAGUGGGCCCAGAGAUACCUCUCCGACAAUCGGAGUGACAAAUCCUAAUCUCGAAAUACGCCAACCCAACAAGUACCUUCGGAGACACCUGUAGAGCACCUUUAUAAUCACCCAUUUACGUUGUGGCGUUUGGUAGCACACAAAGUGUUCCUCCGGUAAACGGGAGUUGCAUAAUCUCAUAGUCAUAGGAACAUGUAUAAGUCAUGAAGAAAGCAAUAGCAACAUACUAAACGAUCAAGUGCUAAGAUAACGGAAUAGGUCAAGUCAAUCACAUCAUUCUCCUAAUGAUGUGAUCCCAUUAAUCAAAUGACAACUCAUGUCCAUGGCUAGGAAACUCAAGCAUCUUCGAUUAACAAGCUAGUCAAGUAGAGGCGUACUAGUGACACUAUGCUUGUCUAUGUAUUCACACAUGUAUUAUGUUUCCGGUUAAUAUAAUUCUAGCAUGAAUAAUAAAUAUUUAUCAUGAAAUAAGGAAAUAAAUAAUAACUUUAUUAUUGCCUCUAGGGCAUAUUUCCUUCAGGUUUCACUUGUGGCUUCUCUCGAGAAAUAUAGCAAAUGGUGGGUAAAAAAAAUACUGUUGGGCAAUUGAUAGAACUUCAAAUAAUCAUGACGAUAUCUAGGCAAUGAACAUUAUAUAGGCAUCACAUCCAAGAUUAGUAGACCGACUCCUACCUGCAUCUACUACUAUUACUCCACACAUCGACCGCUAUCCAGCAUGCAUCUAGUGUAUUAAGUUCAUGGAAAAACGGAGUAAUGCAAUAAGAACGAUGACAUGAUGUAGACACGAUCUAUCUAUGUAGAGAUAGACCCCAUCAUUUUAUCCUUAGUAGAAACGAUACAUACGUGUCGGUUCCCCUUCUGUCACUGGGAUCAAGCACCAUAAGAUCGAACCCACUACAAAGCACCUCUUCCCAUUGCAAGAUAAAUAGAUCAAGUUGGCCAAACAAAACCCAAAUAUCGGAGAAGACAUACGAGGCUAUAAGAAAUCAUGCAUAAAAGAGAUCAAAGAAACUUAAAUACUUUCAUGGAUAUAAAAAGAUAUAACAGAUCAUAAACUCAAAGUUCAUCAAAUCCCAACAAACACACCGCAAAAGAGUUACAUCAUAUGGAUCUCCAAGAGACCAUUGUAUUGAGAAUUCAGCGAGAGAGAGGAAGCCAUCUAACUACUAACUACGGACCCGAAGGUCUACAAAGAACUAAUCACGCAUCAUCGGAGUGGCACCAAUGGAGGUGGUGAACCCCAUCCGAGAUGGUGUCUAUAUUGGAUCUGGUGGUUUUGGACUCUGCGGCGGCUAGAUCAAUAUUUUGUCGACUCCCCUAGGGUUUUUGGAAUAUUGGGGUAUUUAUAUAGCAAAGAGGCGGUCCAGGGGCACCCGAGGUGGGCACAACCCACCAGGGCGCGCCUAGGCCUCCUGGCGUGCCCUGGUGGGUUUUUCUCUCCUCGAAGCAUCCCCCAGGCGCAGCCAUGGCCCAUUACGUGUCUUCUGGUCCAUAAAAAAUCUCCGUAAAGUUUCGUUGCAUUUGGACUCCGUCUGAUAUUCAUUUCCUGCGAUGUCAAAAACAUGUAGAAAACAACAACUGGCACUUGGCACUAUGUCAAUAGGUUAGUACCAAAAAUGAUUAUAAAACAUCCAAGAUUGAUAAUAUAAUAGCAUGGAACAAUAAAAAAUUAUAGAUACGUUGGAGAUGUAUCAGCAUCCCCAAGCUUAACUCCUACUCGUCCUCGAGUAGGUAAGUGAGAAAAACAGAAUUUUUGAUGUGGAAUUCGGCCUAACAUGUCAUAACAUAUUCUUUUCUUUAUAGCAUGGACAUUUGGACUUUUAUGUGAUUCAAAGCAAUAGUCUAGUUUUGACAUGAUAAUUUAAAUACUCAAGCAUAUCAACAAGCAACCAUGUCUUUCAAAAUAUCAACGCUAAAAUAAGUUAUCCUUAGCCCAUCAUGCUCAACCAUUGAUCCAUUCAUGAAACACACUCGCAUAUUAGCUACACCCAAUACUUAAGGACAAUCAUAUUGCCUCCUAGUUGGUGCUUUUAUAAGAGAAGAUGGUGACUCAAAUUCAAAAUAAAAAUUGCGUAAAGUAAAAGAAUGGCCCUUCGCAGAGGGAAGUAGGGAUUUGUAGAGGUGCCAGAGCUCAAAGCGAAAAACUUAGAGAUAAAAACAUUUUGGGAGGUGUAUCCAUCCCACCAACGAAAACGACUUAGAGUUCCCAACACUUUCCAUGUUAGAUAUAUCAUAGGCGGUUCCCAAACAGAAAAUAAAGUUUAUUCCCUUUUCCACCAUACUUCCACUUUCCAUGGCUAGCCGUAUCCACGGUUGCCCUCCAUACCAACACUUUCCAAGGAAUUUAUUAUUUGACAACAUAAAGUAAAAUUUUUUUUUCAUUUCGGGACUAGGCAUCCCUAAAACCUUUGCCUUACCCUCAUGCAAUGACAAGUUAAUAAACACUCAUCGUGAGAAUAACACAUCCAGCAUGGAAAAUAUUAGCCACCCCUCACCGCUCCGUGAGCGAAACGAACACAAAGCAGAUAUAGUGGACUCAUGUGGCAAAACUGGUUUAAAGGAUUUUGGAUGCACAAGUAGAGAUCAUACUUAGUGCAAAAUGAAGGCUGGCAAAAGAUUGAGAAGCGACCAACCAAGAAACGAAUAAUCUCAUAACCAAGCAUUAAGCAUAAUUAACACCAAAUAAUGCACCACAAGUAGGAUAUAAUUUCAUUGCAUGACUAUUGACUUUCGUGCUUGCAUAGGGAAUCACAAACCUUAACACCAAUAUUCUUACUAAAGCAUAAUUACUCAUCAACAUAACUCACAUAUCACAUAAUCAUAUCUCAAAACUAUUACUAAGAGUCAAGUUUAUUUUGUCCAAUGAUCUUCAUGAAAGUUUUUAUUAUAUCCUUCUUGGUUAUCUAUCACUUUGGGACUAAUUUUCAUGUGUUGCUUUCCAUAAGCUCAAACAAAUAUAAGUGAAGAUCAUGAGCGUAAUUGUUUUUCUUUCUCUCAAAAUAAUUUAAGUGAAGCAAGAGAGGGCUUCUUGAAAAUUUUACUAACUCUCAAAUAAAUCUAAGUGAAGCAAGGGAGUAUUUCUUCAAAAAUACUAAAGCACACCGUGCUCAAAAAGAUAUAAGUGAAGCACUAGAGCAAGUCCCUAGCUCAUAAAAAUUUAAGUGAAGCAUAGAGAGCAAUUCUAACAAGUCAUGACAUAAUUUUGGCUCUCUCAAAUAGGUGUGUCCAACAAGGGAUCAAGACUUAAAACACAAAAUAAAACAAGAAAAGACUCAUAUCAUACAAGACGCUCCAAGCAAAACACAUAUUAUGUGACGAAUAAAAAUAUAGCUUCGAGUAAAAAUACCGAUGGUCGUUAGAAGAAAGGGGGGAUGCCACUUGGGGCAUCCCCAAACUUAGGCUCUUCUAUCCUUCCUUCAUCUAUCGUAAGAUAACCCAAAACUUGAAAACUUCAAUCACACAAAACUCAACAAAACCUUCGUGAGAUCCGUUAGUAUAAGAAAGCAAACCACUACUAUAAGUAUUGUAUCAAACCAAUUCGUAUUUUGUUUUGCAUUAUAUCUACUGUAUUCCAACUUUCCUAUGGCAAAAACUCAUCAAAGAAAACCAUAGAACCAUCAAAACAAGCACACGACGCAAAGAAAACAAAAUCUGAGAAAACAGAACAGUUUGUAGCAAUCUGACUAUUUUGAAUACUUCUGUAACUCUAAAAAUUCUGAAAAUUUAGGACGACCAGGGUAAUUUGUAUAUCAAUCUUCUGCAGAAAGAAUCAGGGCAAAAUCACUUUUCUAUGAUUUAUGAAAAUUAUUUUCAUGAGUGCAUAAGUUUCUGUUUUUCAGCAAGAUCAAACAACUAUCACCUGAGAAGAUCCUCAAGGCUUUACUUGCCACAAACACUGACUAAAACACAAAAAACACAAUCAUAACAGUAGAAUAAUUGUGCAAACACUCAAGAACAGAAAGCAAAAAGCAAAAAUAAAUUUUAUUCAUUGGGUUGCCUCCCAACAAGCGCUAUAGUUUUACGCCCUUAGCUAGGCAUAAAGAAAGGAUCUAAGUUUUGUCAUCUUUGGUUCGAGAUCCAUAAGAUGCCCUCAUGAUUGAUUCAUAUGGUGGCUUAAUUCUUGUUCUAGGGAAGUGUUCCAUACCUUUUAUCAAAGAAAAUUGGAACUUAAUAUUGCCUUCUUUCAUAUCAAUCACGGCACCGAUAGUGCGUAAAAAUGGUCUACCAAGAAUAAUAGGACAAGACGGAUUGCAAUCAAUAUCAAGAACAAUAAAAUCUAUGGGCACAUAAUUCCUAUUUGCAAGAAUAAGAACAUCAUUAAUUCUUUCCAUGGGCUUUUUAAUAGUGGAAUCCUCUAAGUGUAAAUUCAAAGAACACGAUUCAAUAUCGGUAAGACCAAGCACAUCACAUAAAGAUUUCAGAAUUGUAGAAACACUAGCACCCAAGUCACACAAAGCAAAACACUCAUAAUUUUUAAUCUUGACUUUGAUAGUAGGUUCCCAUUCAUCAUGCAAUUUUCUAGGAAUUGAAACUUCUAACUCCAAUUAUUCUUCAAAAGCUUUCAUCAUAGCAUCAACAAUAUGUUUAGUAAAAGCUUUAUUUUGUUCAUAGGAAUGAGGUGAAUUUAACAUGGAUUGCAACAAAGAAAUACAAUCAAUCAAAGAGCAACUAUCAUAAUUAAAGUAUUUCUAAUCCAAAAGAGUGGGCACAUCACUAGUUAAAGUUUUGACCUCUCCAAACCCACUUUUAUCAAUUUUCUCAACAAGAUUUUCACCCUACGAAUCAUCGGGACGCCUUCUAAAUAAAGUUGACUCUUCUCCAGUCCCUUUUUCAUAAAUCUUAACUUUACUAAACAAGGAAUCUAUAGAAGAAACACCAAUCAUUUUAAGAUCUUCAUCACUUUUGCGAAAGUAGUCACUAGAAAACGCUUUUUCUAAAAAUUCUCUUUUAGCUCUAAGCAUAGCUGUUCUUUUCUUACUUUCAUCCAUAGAAACAUAAAGAGCUUUAAUUGAUUCAUAAACCUUAGCACAAAAAAUUUCAUCUUGAGAUUUUCCACAUCAUGCGAAAUUCUAUCAACACUUCUAGAAAAAUCAUCAAUCUUAUCCAGCUUUUCUUCCAUGGUAGUGUUGAAAACAUUGUGCGUAUUGAUAAAUUCUUUAAUAUUAUUAUCAAGAUCAGAGGUGUUCCUAUUAUUAUUGUAAGAUUGAUUUCCAUAGGAAUUACCAUAAUUAUUAGAGGAAUUACUAGGAAAAGGCCUAGGAUUAAAAUUACCUCUAUAAGCAUUGUUAUUGAAAUUAUUUCGAGAGAUAAAAUUCACAUCUACGGCAUCACUAUUUUGCUCAAUCAAAGUAGACAAAGGAAUAUCAUUAAAAUCAAUAGGAGCACUUUUACUAGCAACCAAUUUCAUAAGAACAUCAACUUUUUCACUCGAAGAAGAAAUUUCUUCAACCGAAUUAACUUUUUUACUAGUAGGAGCCCUUUCGGUAUGCCAUUGUGAAUAAUUUGCCAUGAUAUUAUCAAGCAAUUUGGUGGCUUCACCCAAAGUAAUUUCCAUAAAAGUACCACCCGCGGCGGAAUCUAAAAGAUUACGAGAAACAAAAUUCAAACCUGCAUAUAAAUUUUGUAUGAUCAUCCAAAGAUUUAACCCAUGAGUUGGGCAAUUCCUUUUCAUCCUUUCCCAAGAUUGUGCAACAUGCUGCUGUUCAACUUGCUUCAAAUUCAUGAUCUGGGUUCUAAGGGAAAUAAUUUUUGUGGGCGGAAAAUACUUAGUGAUAAAAGCAUCUUUGCACUUAUUCCAAGAAUCAAUACUAUUGCGAGGCAAAGAAGAGAACCAGUUUUUUGCAGAAUCACGCAAAGAAAACAAAAAUAAUUUCAUCUUAACCACAUCAUUGUCCACAUAUUUUUACUUUUGCAUAUCGCAUAAUUCCACGAAGGUAUUAAUAUGGGACGCGGAAUCCUUAUUAGGAGUACCGGAAAAUUGAUCUUUCAUAACAAGAUUCAGCAAAGCAGUAUUAAUAUCACAAGACUCCGCACUAGUGACGGGAGGAGCAAUCGGAGUGCCAAUAAAAUCAUUGUUGUUGCUAUUUGAGAAAUCACACAACUUGGUGUUCUCUUGAGUCAUGAUGACUUCACAACAAGAUUGCACUCAAAAAACAGAUCCGGCAAGAAAACAGUGAACGGAAAAAGAGGGGCGAAUAAAACGGCAAUUUUUUGUGAAGUGGGGGAGAGGAAAACGAGAUGCAAAUGGCAAAUAAUGUAUAUUGCGAGGAGAUGAGAUUUGUGAUUAGGAACCUGGUAUAUGUUGAAGGUCCUCUCCGGCAAUGGCGCCAGAAAUUCCUUUUGAUGUCGGCUAGGACUACGUCGGUAUUUCCCCAAAGAGGAAGGGAUGAUGCAGCAUAGCGACGGUAGGUAUUUCCCUCAAUGAAGAAACCAAGGUUAUCGAACCAGUAGGAGAACCAAGCAACACAACGUAAACAGCCCCUGCACACAGAUAACAAUUCCUCGCAACCCGAUGUGUAAAAGGGGUUGUCAAUCCCUUUCGGGUAGCGGCGCCCCAAGAUGGGCAAACAGACAUAAGGAAAUUGUAGUAGAUUGAUAGAUCGAACGCCAAACAAAAUAAAUAAGAAUAAAUUGCAGAAAGGUAUUUUUGUAUUUUUAGUUUAAUAGAUCUAAAAAUAAAUGCAAACGAAAAGUAGAUCGCAAAGGCAAAUAUAUGAGAAAGAGACCCGGGGGGCCGUAGGUUUCACUAGUGGCUUCUCUCGAGAAAAAUAGCAAACGGUGGGUAAACAAAUUACUGUUGGGCAAUUGAUAGAACUUCAAAUAGUCAUGACGAUAUCCAGGAAAUGAUCAUUAUAUAGGCAUCACAUCCAAGAUUAGUAGACCGACUCCUACCUGCAUCUACUACUAUUACUCCACACAUCGACCGCUAUCCAACAUGCAUCUAGUGUAUUAAGUUCAUGGAAAAAUAGAGUAAUGCAAUAAGAAUGAUGACAUGAUGUAGAAAAGAUCUAUCUAUGUAGAGAUAGACCCCAUCGUUUUAUCCUUAGUAGCAACGAUACAUACGUGUCGGUUCCCCUUCUGUCACUGGGAUCAAGCACCAUAAGAUCGAACCCACUACAAAGCACCUCUUCCCAUUGCAAAAUAAAUAGAUCAAGUUGGCCAAACAAAACCAAAAUAUCGGAGAAGAAAUACUAGGCUAUAAGCAAUCAUGCAUAAAAGAGAUCAAAGAAACCCAAAUACUUUCAUGGAUAUAAAAAGAUAUAACUGAUCAUAAACUCAAAGUUCAUCAGAUCCCAACAAACACACCGCAAAAGAGUGAUACGUCCAUUUUGCAUCAUGUUUUCUUACUGUUAUUUAUAAUGUUUUUAUCCAUAAUAAUGCUUUUUGGAGUAAUUCUAAUGCCUUUUCUCUCAUAAUUUGCAAGGUACACACCAAGAGCGAGAAUUCCGGUAGCUGGAAAUCUGGACCUGAAAAUGCUACGUUACGCCACAUAUUCUGCACAACUCCAAAUGAGCUGAAACUCCAUGAGGAUUUUUUAUGGAAUAUUUAAGAAAUACUGGAGCCAAUAAACACCAGAGGGGGGCCACCAGGUGGGCACAACCCACCUGGGCGCGCCAGGGGCGCGCCCUGGUGGGUUGUGGCCUCCUAGGCCCACCUCCGGUGCCCAUCUUCUGGUAUAUAAGUGAUUUUGACCUAGAGAAAAUAAGGGGAAGACUUUCGGGAUGGAGCGCCGCCGUCUCGAGGAGGAACUUGGGCAGGAGCACUUUUGCCCUCCAGCGGAGUGAUUCUGCCGGGGGAACUUCCCUCCCGGAGGGGGAAAUCAUCGUCAUCAUCAUCACCAACAACUCUCCCAUCUUGGGGAGGGCAAUCUCCAUCAACAUCUUCACCAGCACCAUCUCAUCUCAAACCCUAGUUCAUCUCUUGUAUUCAAUCUUGUUACCAGAACUAUAGAUUGUUGCUAGGGGGUGACUAGUAGUGUUGAUUACAUCUUGUAGUUGAUUACUAUAUGGUUUAUUUUGUGGAAGAUUAUACGUUCAGAUCCAUUAUGCAUAUUAAUGCCGCUCUGAUCAUGAGCAUGUUUAUUGUUUGUGAGUAAUUACUUUCAUUCUUGAGGUCACGGGAUAAAUCAUAUUGUAAGUAAUCAUGUGAAUUUGAUAUGUGUUCGAUAUUUUGAUGGUAUGUAUGUUCUGAUUCCCUUAGUGGUGUCAUGUGAACGUCGACUACAUGACACUUCACCAUAUUUGGGCCUAAGGGAAUGCUUUGUGGAGUAGUAAAUAGAUGGUGGGUUGCGAGAGUGACAGAAACUUAAACCCACUAGUACAGCGAGCUCCUAAACAAACGGUUUAAAACCCCUUUCCGUGACGGCAUUUGGAAUCGUCUCCAAGUGAGUGUGGGCGAUAGGGGGUCCUUCCCACACGACCCAGAAACCGUCGAGGAUAUGCCCUCCUAGCACACACGUUCGGCAAAAUGAGGUCAUGUGCGACCGGCGAGCGCUCAAAUACGGAAAUGCGUACAGUAGAGCUAAAAAAUACAAUUAUACGGCGAAAUUGUUUCUGGUCGCAAGUACAUCCCACACAGUCAGUCCCCGCUAAAUGUUUUCGUUUGUAUGUACAUCCCACACAGUCGCUCGAAGGAAAACGUUUCCGUUCACAGGUACAUCACACACAAUUUUUCCUGUUAAAUCGCUUGCAUUAUUGAAUAUAUCACACACGGUCCGUGGAAACUGUGUGGCAAAGGUUGUCCAUCACACACAGUUUUCAUGUGGUAAACGUUUGCGCAAGGUGGCCUAACGCAAAUAGUUUUCAAGAGAAAGUCGUGUGUGAUUGUUCAUUGAUCCAACACGGUUUGUUCCUAGAAACUGUGUGCGUUGCCUGAGGUCAUCGCCCACGGUAUUUUUUCAACAACCGUUUGCAAUAGCAAAACCCAAUUAGCAGGCUAAUUCGCCACUAGCAGGCUAGUUAUCCGAUUAUUCAUAAUCCAUUUAUUAAUCUAAUUGACAGUUCAUAUCAAUCACACAAUAUAUUUCAUUUUCAUAAUUGAAAUACAUCAGAGUACAGCAUCAUAUAGCUUCAGCACUCAGCUACCCCAUUGCACAACUACACCAGGACCAAGUUUCACAUGCAACAUCUAUAACCUUUCAAAAUUAGCAUCAUAGAUGGUACAUAGACAGAUGUAUCUCAUCUGGAAAACUGCUGAAGCAGAUGGCGAAUAUUGAGCCUUCAUUGAUGUUGAAGGUCUUUGUAACUUUAGGCCAGUGCCGGUGGAUGAUUGACCGUCGAUCCUUCGUCCUCCUCAGGAACACUUCAAUAUUGAACCAUGGGUGUUGUAUGAAUACCUUCCUCGCCUCCUGACCAUACAGGUGGUUUGAGAGGUAAUCAUCAGUGAACUGCUUUGGAAAGGCCUGAAAACAAGGAUGUGCAUAAAUAUCUUCUCUAACUUGGAAAUGGGGCAAAGGAAUUAAAAAGGCAAGGUAUAAUAGUUAGUACCAUCCUGUAGUGAACUGAUGUCUUCUUCAUUGUGCAGACAAAGAUCUUGUUGUUUUUUGUUGCUAAUUUGUUUAUCCUAACAAUCUUUCUGAGUUUCUUGACUUGACUGAUAUUCAUGGACAACUCAUUUCCCCAUAUGCAAAAAGGGUCAAACAGUGGGUCAAAACCUCUGACAGCAGGACCUACAUGUGUAAGACCAAAUUGUUAAAAACCUAAAUAUUAGAAUGGUUCCUGCAAUUGCACAAUAAUGUGCUAUUAGACAACAGACCAUGCACGUGCUAACCUCGAUUGUAAACCUCAGUGCUUCCCAUUGUUUCCUUGCAACACAUAUAAGGUAGUUAGUCAUCAAGUUAAGUAAGGUUCGCAUGCUAUCAGUAAAAUAUGUUGAUGAAAAAUAAUCACAUUGCAGAUUCAUCAGAUUAAUUCAAGCCACAGGGAAAACCCAUUUACCCAAACCAAGCAUGAUUAAGAACUAGGAAAUAUAGGACUUGUAUAUGUUUCUCAUGUAUUAAGUGCAGCCAAAUUCGAUUUAUUCCUCACAUGCACAACAAUACAAAAUUCGAUUUAUUUCUCACAUGGAAGACAAUACAAAAUUGCUGCCUGGAGAAUUGAACAUCACAUUUGCAUAAUUCAACCAAACAGUUAACUGAAGACGACAACUAAUUAACAAAACAGUUAAUAAGUGAGCACCACACUGCAUGACAUAUAGAACCUAUACACUAGAGCAACAGAUUGCAUGGUAAAAUUAGAUAGCACAAUUCACUAGAAUUUGUGAGGGAAAGGCAGGAGCAGCACAUGCAACGGGUAAAUCGAGCAUGCUUAACCGGCGUAGCUAGCAAAUGGCAAGGUGCUCCUUCAAGAUCUGGGGGACGGCACGAAUGGCAGCCAUGGCGACCUCAUCCGCGCGUGCGGCCGCGAUUUGCUUCUCCGCUGCCAAAUGCUCCUUCAGGUCCUGGCUAUACUACGUGCACCAUGGCUUAGGCCGGCGCUUAUUUGGUGGAGGGGUCGGUGGUUUGGGUGGAAGGUGUCGUGCUCGUGCCGGCGGUAGGGGCAUGUGGGAUGUGGAAGGAGGAGGAGGGUGGGGGUCGGGUGUGGAUUACCUGCCUGGAUAGGCGAGGCCGAGGAGCUCCAAGGAGGGUCGCCGGCGAGGAGGCGGCGGUGCUGGAAGCAAGGAGUGAAGGUUUCAAUUUGGAAAGGAAGGCGGAAAGAGGGGAAAUGUGGCUUUUGGUAAGGGGGAGGGGGCGGGGAGGUAGAUAUUUCCGCGAAAGCCGAAAAUUUGGAAUCGCUUUAGCCAAAAAACUGCCGCGCAAAGUGUCAUCAGACACGGUCCCUUAUUCAGAACUGUGUACGAUAUGUGAACAUCACAAACGAUUCAGAUAGCUUAACCCGUGUGUGUUGAGUUUGAACGUCAAAAAUUUUGGUUCGAAUUUCCCUGGUUACAGUGGUCAUCCACGUCAUUGCAUAAUUUGGGUACACAAAGGAGACUAACUUCUUAAUCGAGCAAGUUCAGCAAUUAAAUAGAGCUAGCUGACCUAAACAUUACUCUAACAAAUUAAAGACCGGCACUCUUAGUUACACAAAACAAAGAGUACUACUACGACUGGUGCUCGUCGAUCUCCGCCGCCGCCUCCAUGUCCAUCUCGCGUCCGACGGUCUCCUGGGGAAGGGGCUCCAUGGCAUCAAUUGCACCAUACUCGGAAGCAUCUCGCCAUCCGCGUCCGCCAUAUCUUUGGAAAAGGCCGCCACGAGCUGGGCGUGGGCGGACGCCAUGUGGGCUCUGGUGGGCUCCGUCGUGGCAAGGUAUGCCGCGCAGGAACAGGCGGCUGCUCGAACGCUCUCGGCGAUUGCGAGCUCUUCGGCUGUGGGUUGCCGACCGUUGUCGGAGAAGCUUCGUUUGAUUUGUGCGGUGACCGCCACGACCUGGGUGUGGACGGCCUCGACAUGGUAGUGGGUGGCCUCCAGCAGGGCUAAGGCCGCCGCUGUGAAACGGACAGCUGCUGUGCCGCUCUCGCCAGUUGCUAUCCCCGAGGCAGAUGCUGCCGCCACCUGAGAAGCAACAGCGGCCGUUUGGGCUACCUUGGCCGCCCGAACGCAGACUGCGGUCGCCCUCACGAAGCUUGUUAGCACGCGCCUGGCGGCUGCGGCCGCGCUCUCGCCAGAGUGGGCCGCCGAAGUUGCCCACAUGACGUGGGUCCACGUCCCCAUCUUUCACCGGCGACGCAUGAACAGUGAAAUGAUAUUUUGGGAGUGAGCUAGCUAGUGUGCUUGACACGCGGGCUGUGGACUGUAGCCGACGUACCUUCUCUCGUAAGGCAUGGGCGUACUAUAAACCGACGGUGCUCCAUGAUAUUUUGUGCUGCAUCUCACACGGUUGGUGAUAAUAAACUGUGUGUGAUCUACUUUAUUUAUCGUCUUAAUCAUUUGAAUUACGUAAUGGGGUCACAGCUACAAAGGAUGGUGUUUGAAUUGUUAGAACUUUUAUCUGCAGUGAACAUGCAACUAUAGGUCUGUCGUCAAAAAAAUUGGAAGUAUUCAGGGUUCGUUUGUACAUUUUUAUACAUUAACUGGGUUUUCCAGGCAUUUUAUGCGCAUAAUUCAAAUUUGAACUACAUGCACAUGCUCAAGUGCAUAUAAACUUAUUGAAAAAUCAAAUAUGUGUCCUUGGUUGCACGCUUAGGUCCCAUGCAACAAACGGGAAUGAAUUUCAAACACCCUGCCACCGUCACUCGGCCACAAACAUUGAGAUACCUGGUUUUUAAAUUCUAGUAAAUCCAAAACUCGUCUGAACUUCAUGAAACUUGGCAUGAUAUCAUGUAGCGGCAUCAACAUGCCGUGGUAAAAAAUUUGUCCCAUUUGGGGCACGUUUGGGUAUAUGCUUCUCACAAACCGGAGCUUCUCACAACAAGCAUGAUGGUUCUCGGGAGGGAACGUCCCAUCUUUUGGGAUGAAAUGAUAUCCAUUGCCUCUUAUUGCUUUCAAUUUUUUUUCUCGUGUCAACAUAGAUACAUGAGUGUUGUGUGAAUUUUUGUGAUUUUUCGGGGUUCGUUUGGACAUUUUUAUGCAUUAACUGAGUUUUCAAUGCAUUUAUGUGCAUAAUUCAAAUUUGAACUACAUGCACAUGCUCUAGUGCAUAUAAAUUGGUUGAAAAAUCAAAUCUGUGUCCUAGGGUGCAUGCUUAGGUCCCAUGCAAGAAAUGGGAAUGAAUUUUGAACACUAGGGCAUCGUUGAUUGUCGGCAAAACAUUGAGAUGCCUGGUUUUUAAAUUCUAGUAAAUCCAAAACUCGUUUGAAAUUCAGGAAACUUGGCAUGCUAUCAUGGAGCGGCAUCAACAUGCCAUGGGAAAAACUUUGUCCCAUUUGGGGCAGGUUUGGGUAUAUGCUUCUCACAAACCGGAGCUUCUCACAACAAGCAUGAUGGUUUUCGGUAGGGAACAUCCCACCUUUCGGGACGAAACGAUAUCCAUUGCCUCUUAUUGCUUUCAAACUUUUUUCUCGUGUCAACAUAGAACAACAGGAGUGUUGUGUGAAUUUUUGUGAUUUUUUGGGGUUCGUUUGGACAUUUUUAUGCAUUAACUGAGUUUCAAUGCAUUUAUGUGCAUAAUUCAAAUUUGAACUACAUGCACAUGCUCCAGUGCAUAUAAAUUGGUUGAAAAUCAAAUAUGUGUCCUAGGGUGCAUGCUUAGGUCCCAUGCAAGAAAUGGAAAUGAAUUUCGAACACCAGGGCACCGUUGAUUGCCGGCAAAACAUUGAGAUGCCUGGUUUUUAAAUUCUAGUAAAUCCAAAACUCGUCUGAAAUUCAUGAAACUUCGGAUGCUAUGAUGGAGCGACAUCAACAUGUCGUGGUACAAAUUUUGUCCCAUUUGGGACAGGUUUGGGUAUAUGCUUCUCACAAACAGGAGCUUCUCACAACAAGCAUGAUGGUUUUCGGUAGGGUACGUCCCACCUUUGGGGACGAAGCGAUAUCCAUUGCCUGUUAUUGCUUUCAAUUUUUUUCUCGUGUCAACAUAGAACAACAUGAGUGUUGUGUGAAUUUUUGUGAUUUUUCGGGGUUCGUUUGGACAUUUUUAUGCAUUAACUGAGUUUUCAAUGCAUUUAUGUGCAUAAUUCAAAUUUGAACUACAUGCACAUGCCCCGAUGCAUAUAAUGUUGGAAAUAUGCCCUAGAGGCAAUAAUAAAAUGGUUAUUAUUGUAUUUCCUUGUUCAUGAUAAUUGUCUGUUGUUCAUGCUAUAAUUGUAUUAACUAGAAACCGUAAUACAUGUGUGAAUACAUAGACCACAACAUGUCCCUAGUAAGCCUCUAGUUGACUAGCUCGUUGAUCAAUAGAUGGUUAUGGUUUCCUGACCAUGGACAUUGGAUGUCAUUGAUAACGGGAUCACAUCAUUAGGAGAAUGAUGUGAUGGACAAGACCCAAUCCUAAGCAUAGCACAAGAUCGUGUAGUUCGUUUGCUAGAGCUUUUCUAAUGUCAAGUAUCAUUUCCUUAGACCAUGAGAUUGUGCAACUCCUGUAUACCGUAGGAAUGCUUUGGGUGUACCAAACGUCAAAACGUAACUGGGUGGCUAUAAAGGUGCACUACAGGUAUCUCCAAAAGUGUCUGUUGGGUUGGCACGAAUCGAGACUGGGAUUUGUCACUCCGUAUGACGGAGAGGUAUCUCUGGGCCCACUCGGUAAUGCAUCAUCAUAAUGAGCUCAAUGUGACUAAGGGGUUAGCCACGGGAUCAUGCGUUACGGUAAGAAUAAAGUGACUUGCCGGUAACGAGAUUGAACAAGGUAUUGGGAUACCGACGAUCGAAUCUCGGGCAAGUAACAUACCGAUUGACAAAGGGAAUUGUAUACGGGAUUGAUUGAAUCCUCGACAUCGUGGUUCAUCCGAUGAGAUCAUCGUGGAACAUGUGGGAUCCAACAUGGGUAUCCAGAUCCCGCUGUUGGUUAUUGACCGGAGAGUCGUCUCGGUCAUGUCUGCAUGUCUCCCGAACCCGUAGGGUCUACACACUUAACGUUCGGUGACGCUAGAGUUGUAGAGAUAUUAGUAUGCGGUUAACCGAAAGUUGUUCGAAGUCCCGGAUGAGAUCCCGGACGUCACGAGGAGUUCCAGAAUGGUCCGGAGGUAAAGAUUUAUAUAUGGGAAGUCUUAUUUUGGCCACCGGAAAAUGUUCGGGAUUUUUCGGUAUUGUACCGGGAAGGUUCUAGAAGGUUCCGAAGUGGGGCCCACCUGCAUGGGGGGACCCACAUGAACGUGGGUAGUGGGGGCAAGGCCCCACACCCCUGGUCAAGGCGCACCAAGAUCCCAUCUUAGAAGGAAUAAGAUCAUAUCCCGAAGGGAUAAGAUCAAGAUCCCUAAAAAGGGGGGAUAACAAUCGGUGGGGAAGGGAAAUGAUGGGAUUUCUUUCCCCCACCUUUGCCAACGCCCCAAUGGACUUGGAGGGCAAGAAACCAGCCCCCUCCACCCCUAUAUAUAGUGGGGAGGCGCAUGGGAGCAGCACCUCAAGCCCUGGCGCCUCCCUCCCUCCCGUGACACCUCUUCCUCCCCGCUUGCGCUUGGCGAAGCCCUGCCGGGAUCCCGCUACUUCCACCACCACGCCGUCGUGCUGCUGGAUCUCCAUCAACUUCUCCUCCCUCCUUCCUGGAUCAAGAAGGAGGAGACGUCCCCGCUCCGUACGUGUGUUGAACGCGAAGGUGUCGUCCGUUCGGCGCUAGGAUCAUCGGUGAUUUGGAUCACGACGAGUACGAUUCCAUCAACCCCGUUCUCUUGAACGCUUCCGCUCACGAUCUACAAGGGUAUGUAGAUGCACUCCUCCCCUCUCGUUGCUAGAAUCUCCUAGAUUGAUCUUGGUGACACGUAGGAAAAUUUUGAAUUUCUGCUACGUUCACCAACAUAUAAAUCUGUUGAAAAAUCAAAUAUGUGUCCUAGGGUGCAUGCUUAGGUCCCAUGCAAGAAAUGGGAAUGAAUUUCAAACACCAGGGCACCGUUGAUUGUCAGCAAAACAUUGAGAUGCCUGGUUUUUAAAUUCUAGUAAAUCCAAAACUCGUCUGAAAUUCAUGAAACUUGGCAUGCUACCAUGGAGCGGCAUCAACAUGCCGUGGUACAAAUUUUGUACCAUUUGGGGCAGGUUUGGGUAUAUGCUUCUCACAAAUCGGAGCUUCUCACAACAAGCAUGAUGGUUUUCGGUAGGGAACGUCCCACCUUUGGGGACGGAGCGAUAUCCAUUGCCUCUUAUUGCUUUCAAAUUUUUUCUCAUGUCAACAUAGAACAACAGGAGUGUUGUGUGAAUUUUUGUGAUUUUUCGGGGUUCGUUUGGACAUUUUUAUGCAUUAACUGAGUUUUUAAUGCAUUUAUGUGCAUAAUUCAAAUUUGAACUACAUGCACAUGCUCCAGUGCAUAUAAAGAUUGAAAAAUCAAAUAUGUGUCCUUGGGUGCAUGCUUAGGUCCCAUGCAAGAAAUGGGAUUGAAUUUCAAACACCAGGGCACCGUUGAUUGCCGACAAAACAUUGAGAUGCCUAGUUUUUAAAUUCCAGUAAAUCCAAAAUGUUGUUAACCAUUCACGUGACGCCAUGUGUCUUGGUUUUAAUGGCUGUAGGAGGUGCCGUGCGGACAACUGCUUGACCUUGACUGAAAUGUGCCGAGCAGUAUUUCUGCAGCUCUUGAUCGCAAACGAUUUUUGUACACCCGUAUGCAAAGUGAGAGCAGCGCAUGAUUUGUGCAUCCCUUCAACGCAAACGGUUGUUCUAGAUGACCCGUGUGCAACCACGUACAAACAAUUUGGUAAGAUUUACAUCUAUCAUAUUUGGUAUGUUGCCAUUUGUCAAACUGGAAAGAUUUACAUUUGUUGAUCUAGUAACGUUGCCAUUUGUCAAUCCUUGUAACACUACGAUUUGUCAAAAUAUGCAGUUGGAAAUCAUUAGCACUAUGUAAUUUUUUCAACUAAAAUUCAGUAAUUAAGCAUAGAUUUCAUUCAUAGAUUAAGCAGUCAUUCUUAAUUUAUACAAACAGUUCAACUCGACAGCUGAACCGAUCAAACUUCUCCCCAAUUGUUGCCAACCACGUACUGAAAUAGCUAGUUCAACUAUAUACACUAGCUAAUUUUAAGUACGUUUUACAGUUCGACCACACAUCUAUAGUCAGAUGAACUGAACAAAAUAGCCCCUAAAUACUACUACUACCACAGAGGGGCUUUGUGCUACUUCCGGCAGCCUCUCCUCUGCCGAGCGCGCUAAGUGAGAGGCAGAGGAAGAGGAGGAGGAGCCUCCCGACGAGCCGGAGAAAUGCAAUACGGUGCCUGCCGCUUUUGCACGUUCAGCGAAGGUCUCCAGCUCGAACACCCACUGCCGCUCCAGACGAUCCCUCUUGAAGUGGACGGACUGCUCGUAGAUCUCCUGAUUCCUCGCCUCUGCGUCGACGUGUGCUGCGGCCACGACUGCAGUAAGGCUCUUUGCAUGCUCGACGAGGCGCUCCUCCUCCUCCCGCAGGAACUUGAUGUAGCGCGCAAGGUCGCUGGCGCACGUGCGGUCCUCCACCUCCGCCUCCCUCCUUCGGGCGGCGGUGGCGGAGCGGGUGAUGAUCCCGGCGGUCGACGGUGGGCUGGCGGCCACGGUGGCCGAUGAUAAGCCACGACCACCACCUCCCGCCUUCGGGCCGCGGUGGCUGAGUGGGUGAUGGCCACGGUGGCCGGCAGUGGGGUGGAGGCCACGACGGCCACCUCCCGCCUUCGGGCCGCGGCGGCGGAGCGGGAGAUGGCCCUGGAUUUCGACGGUGGUGUGGCGGCAACGGCGGGCGGCAACAGCUGCCGACGGGCAGCGGCGGCGGAGCGUGUGGUGGGUGCUCUGCGCACACCCAACAGGGACGCCAUGCGCACAACACUAUGCCAGGGACUGCGCCGCCGCCGCGGUGUAGCCUCCCAACUGGAGCUGUCCUCUGAUGACGGCGGAGUGGCUGAGCGACGACGACGGACCGGUGCCAUUGGCGAUUGUGGGAGAAGCAGACGAGAUAAGCUACAGGGAGGGAAGGAGGGGAAAAUGCGACACAGGACUCGCCGGCCGUGACGGUUUUUAUAGCAGGCCGGUAAGCAUUGGGAUUUUGGGGGAUUUCACCGAGUCGGGCGGGAAGCUUGCGCGGGAACGGGCUCACCGACGAUUCAUUGGCGCCACCGUUUGGCCAAAAGAACGCCCCCGCGCGCUGCGCAAGCUUGCGUUGUAAGCCGUCUGCGGCAGCGGGGUGACAAGACGUGUGAGAGGAGGACGAGAGGACACGUACACAUAUAGUUAAUAAAAAAAUGUUUGCGAUUUAAUUACCUACUAUACCCCGUCCUGGUUUAUAAGUAGGAUUUAACUAAUAAAAUACGAAUGCAUGUCGCCAUAGAUUAUAUCGUUGGAGUCAUAUUUGAACAUAGUUUCCAGCUAUAAAUUUUUUGUAAUAUGCAUUAACACUUUUUUGGUUAAAUUUAAGGUUAUACACCAGCAGGCGUUUGCCCACAACACACACGGCUUAUUCCAUCACAAACAGCUCUGAUGGAUCAACUGUCUGCCACGUAUCGCACACGCAACUCUAAUAUGAUUCGUGCUUGAUGUCUCCUACAUCGCUCGCAUAGUUCGUCUUGUUUGCCACGUAUCACUAUGCCGUCCUCUGCUUGCGUCCCUCGGCAAGCUCUGCUCGCUGUUAGGCGCCGCAGCGCGCUGUGCUCACCAUUAGGCGCCGCGACGCGCUUUGUCGCGUCCGUUGGCGCGCUCUGCUCGCGUCUGUCGGCGCGCUCGGCUUGUGGACAACUUUUCCUUGAGGCGACCGCACAGCGCUCUGCCAGCGGUUGGGCAUGCGCACGAUCAUGUCGAGGGGGCCAUAUGCAUGCGAUUGCGCCGCGCGCGUUGCCACUCGAUGUAGUUACGUGUGGCACGAUGGAGUUACGCGCUGCAAAUUAGAACUGCCAUCAGGGCCUGCCAAUAUUCCUGGCCGUCCGGCUUCCCCUUUAAUUCCUGCGGCCAUUAUAACCUUAGUGUCUUCAACCUUUCGAUCGCGCCCCACAACACAACAAGCACACCCACGACGACACAUAGAGAAGGGAUGUCCGGCGGCGCUCCAAUGGAGUUCGACGAGCAUAGAGUGGAGACCCACACGAGGAAGACAGAUCUCUCGGUGGUGUAAACCAUUGACCCGGCCGUGGUGGACGACUACAUCAACAGCGUUGAGCAGUUGCUUGCUGGAGACAAGUACAAGGUGGUCGGCAUCGACCUCCAAUACACCGUCGGUCGUCCCGGCAUAGAUCAGAAGGUUGCCGUUGCCCAGUUGUGCGUGCGCCAUCAUGUCCUCAUCUACCUCUACUGCAUGGCCACAGAGCCUUGCGACCGUUUCAACAGUUUUGUCGACAACACCGACUACAAGUUCGCCACGGUGGAUACCAAAGACGAUGUAAAAGCGCUCAGUGUUACGGGCUUGGCCUGCAAGAACCUUGUCGAAAUCCGUGACCACUACAGGGUCUGGGGCAGCAUGAAGCAGGACUCCCUGGUCGAACUCGCCUCGGCCAUCAUCGACCCCUACUACGAAAAGAUGAAGCAAGAUGCCCAGAGAACAAGUCCCGUAUCCUGGCACAAGGCCUAGAUGCGGCAACUGGAUGAACCUCACCUCAGGUUCGCGGCCAAGAGCGUGUACACAUGCUAUGAGAUGCACAGGCGGAUUGUUGACAUGAGGAAGUGCCUCGUUACCCAAAUCGACGAGCCCGGAUCGAGCCACAAGAAGAGCAAGCUUCACAAGAAGUAGAUGAUGAUCAGAUGAUCGUUUAUGCUAGUUAAUCAUGCAUGUAAUAUAGAGUUUACUUUAUUGGUGUGUGUAGAAAUGUCAUGUGUGUAGUAGCCACCUAUGUAAUUAUGCAUGCAAUAGUUUACUUUGGUGUGCGCAAAUGCCAUGGUUGUAGUAGCCACCUAUGUAAGUGGAUGUUUAAUUUGGUUAUGCAAGCAUGUCCUUAUAAGUGUGUGUGUAUGUAUAUAUGUUGUUGUUCUAUAUGCAAUCCCAUCGCACAACACACACGUCUUAUUAGUAGCAACCGUCUGUGUUCUUAUCGGUCUUCAGACACAUUUCUGAUUACAGACCUGCUUGCCGCGUAUCACACACAUCUUGUUAAGUUGAACUGUUUCUGUUCUCAUGUCUCAAUGCAAACAGUUCAUCCAAGUGAACCGCAUGUCGUAUAUCGCACACACCUUUGAUCUGGCUGACUGUUUCUUUUGUGUUGCCUAAUCACAAAAAGUUCAUCCGAGUGAACCGUAUGCUGUGUAUCGCACACGCCUCCAUCUGGCUGCCCGUUUCUUUGGUUACCCCUCAUCGCAAGCAGUUCAUUGAACUGAACCGUAUGCCCUUCAUCGCACACGCAACUAAAACCUGAACCGUGUUUGAUGCAUCCGUCAUCGCAAACAUUUUACACAUUUUUGGCGGUUUUCAUACAGCACCGUUUGCGAUUAUGGCAUCGCACAUAGUUUCUCGAAGGGUCUCUGAUUGUAGUGUCGCGUUAGCAGCAUCCUGCAGUAGUGACCCCAGAUUAUGCACUAUUAUGUAAGGGCCCGAUUGGAUCCUAGAGUUUAAUGCUAUGGUUAGAAUUUAUUCUUAAUACUUUUCUCGUAGUUGCGGAUGCUUGCGGGAGGGUUAAUCAUAAGUAGGAGGUUUGUUCAAGUAAGAACAGCACCUAAGCACCGGUCCACCCACAUAUCAAAUUAUCAAAGUAGCAAACACAAAUCAAACCAACAUGAUAAAAGUGACUAGAUGAAAUUCCUGUGUACCCUCAAGAACGCUUCUCUUAUCAUAAGAGACCGUUUUCGCCUGUCCUUUGCCUCAAAAGGAUUGGGCUACCUUGCUGCAUACUUGUUAUUAUUAUCGUUACUUGCUCGUUACAAAUUAUCUUGCUAUCAAACUACCCUGCUACUUACAAUUUCAGCACUUGCAGACAUUACCUUACUGAAAACUACUUGUCAUUUUCUUCUGCUCCUCGUUGGGUUCGACACUCUUACUUAUCGAAAAGAGCUAAAAUUGAUCCCCUAUACUUGUGGGUCAUCAAGGCUAUUUUAUGGCGCUGUUUCCGGGGAGUGAAGCGCCUUUGGUAAGUGGAAUUCGGUAAGGAAACAUUCAUAUAGUGUGCUGAAAUUUAUUGUCACUUGUUACCAUGGAAAACAAUCCUUUGAGGGGUUUGUUCGGGGUAUCUUCACCCCAUCUGGAACCACAAUUAAUUUCCCCUCAACCUACUACACCUACUGAAAAUAUUGAAUAAGAAAUUCCUUCGGGUAUGAUAGAACAACUGCUAGCUAAUCCUUAUGUAGGAGAUUGAAUAGAACAUCCUGAUAUGCACUUGAUAUUUGUAGAACAAAUUUGUGGAUUGUUCAAGCUUGCAGGUUUACCGGGAGAUGAGGUGAAGAGAAAGGUUUUCCGUUUAUCUUUGAAGGGAAAAGCAUUGGCAUGGUAUAGGCUAUACAAUGAUAUUGGAUCAUGGAAUUGGAAUCGUUUAAAAUUGGAGUUUCACCAAAAAAAAAUA